CUAAAGUUGCUAAAAUAGCAGGAGUUGAAAUUUGGCCUUUGCCCGGUACUAAAUGGCUCCAUUUAGUACCGGGUAUGACUUCCAACCGGAACUAAAGUUGACAAAAUGGCGGGAGCUGAAAUAAUCCACCUCCAACAGUUUCCUUUCCCGCACACAAUGUCUUUUAUUUUAUUAUUUUUUCAGCAUAAUAAAUGGAGUAAACUUAGGGUUGACUAUAUAUACGCUAUAAAAUGUUGACUGUAAAACUUAGUGCUCAUUUGAUUUUAUUAUUUUUUAAAUUCAUCAUUUAUUAAGUCUUACAAACUAUGACAACAGACAUACAAACCAUCUCAUUCAGACAUGCAAAUUAUAAUUAAUAUCGAUUCCUAAAAACCUAUCGACAUAAUCUAAUGCAUAUAUAUGUGCACUAUCCUUAGCCUUGUAGGGCAUUUGGAACGUCUCUCCAAAUAUUCUCACCAAAAUCGUGAAGCCUUGUAGGGCAUGUGGAAUGUCUCUCCAAAUAUUCUCACCGAAGUCGUGGAUGAUAAUAAGGUAAUGUCAGCUUGCCAACUGCCACGUACUAGACCCAGGUUAGGUCUUGUGAAUGUCCAGCCAAUAUUCCCUAAUACCUGACAUAGGAUUUCUUUUAGACCUUUGUUGGUGUGCAUGAAGCUAUUAUAUUCAAAUGGCAACCAACAAAAAUGUUAGUAUACAUAUUGGCAAAUCAUUACAAAACAAAAUUAAAAAAUAAUGGCUAACUGUAAGUUACAUACACGAUACGCUGGUGAUAUCUAUUUAGGCAUUUGUGUGACGUCCAGCUCAUCGUAUUCGAACGCUUUAAUCUUGAAGUAACUGUAGUCCGGAAAUACGUGAUUUGUCUAACGUUCUAUUUAGAUCAGAGCCUGCCUCAUAGCACUACAUGCGGCAACAUGUGGCUGUUAUGCGGCAAUAGAAUUGAUAUGGAUAAUAAUUGUUUGACCAAGUUUUUGCUCUCACGUGCCUGUAGAAUUAAUGAACAGAUAAACCACAUAUUUCCUUCUGUUGUACUCGUUUGUUCAUGUAGCAUCAUAGGAGAGCUUGUUUAGUCAUAUUAGUUAUUACAUCUCCUAACCACUUGUUACAAAUUAUAAAAAAUCAUUAUUAUGAUGAAACGAGUAAUAAAAUCAGUAUUAUAAUACAAAGGGGACUCCUAUCUGUCAGCAAUCAGUAUUAGGUCGUUGCCGGCUGGCCUGCCUAUCUGUCAGCAAUCGCCGGGGACUCCUUGGAGAAGAUCAACAAGGAACGUAGCAUGCGUCCGCCCCACUCUCCCCAUUCAUGCUUCUGCAUGGUGUUUCGAUGUGUUUAGGUGUUGUUGUUCUUGUGCUGCAGGCAGGACCCUGUUCAUGUUCGAAACGAGAGGCUUGCAAACAAUGGAAGGCCAUGUCACUACCACUUUGCCUUCACUGCCUGCAAGGUGUUUGAUAAAAUAUCCAUUGCCUACAAUAUUUUACUCUCUGUUGUAUCUACUGCUUAACUGCUUGACUGAAAUUGUCAGUACGAUGCACUCUUUCAGCUUAUCAUGAUUAUAAUACAUAUGCAUUUAGAUCUAUGCAUAAAAAUAUUGUUAUGAUCAACUCUUUCAGCUUGUCAUAAUGUCAUAUGAGGAACUCUGAACUAUUGCUUUACUGGCUAUUGCUUGCUGCUUUUGCUUAUGAGUAAUUGUGAGGACCAUUAUUUUGCUAUCACUGACAUCAACUCUGAAUUUUCCAUUGUUGCCAAAUGACUAUGUUAAUGCAUUGUUGUUGAUUAGUCAUCUAUUUUGUAUUUUCCAGUAGUCCUUGCAACUUGCGUGGAUUGAAAGUCAAACCACAGCUGGCUGAUGAUGCUGUACUUCCAUUUCUACUAUAGGUAACUGAAUCUUCCGUUGCCCAUUCUUUCCAGUCAUGCUAUUUUUUUGGAGGAAAUAAGCAGAGUAUAUGUUGUUGCAUUUAAGUACCGCGGCUCAGUUUACAUGUGUGGAAGUCAAAUUUAAGGAUUUUUUUACCCAUCUGUUAUGAGAUAUGGGAUCAUGUUUGUACCUUUAUCUAACUUGCUGGAAAGAUUUCCAACAACUAUACUAUGUUUACUUGAUGAUGUUUAUGAUUCAAAAGAUAGGUUAUUCAGUCUGACUACUCUUCGAUUACCUGAUGCAUAGUUGUGCACAUAGCUUAUCUGCAUCUGUGCUUUCCUUUUGUUUGUAUUUUCAGUUGUCUCUGUUCACAUAGCUUCUCUGACUAUAACAAGACUACAUGAUGAAUAUUUGUGCUACUUAAUGCUAUUUGGAAUUCUAUUAUUAAUUGAAUCUAUUGUAAUGCUGCAGAAUGAGCAACCAGAUGGGGCUACAAGCUGCAGUGGUGGCCACUCAAGUUCCUGAACAAGGUGGUAUUGGUGGACCAUAUUAUUUGUGGCAUGGGAAGUAAAGGUAUUUGUCGAUCUGGUAGAUGUUUGGCUAUAUUGUAUUGUUGAUCUGGUAGAUGUGGCUAUAUUGUAUUAUCUCUACCAGAGGUGAAUUUGAAAAAUUCGAUUUUUGCUACGUUGGAUUUGGUUACAUAUGUGAACGUUUGGUUUUAGAAUUUUAAUAUGCUUUGCACAUUAUGGGCUUUUAAAUGGGAUAUAUACUUGUGGCUAUGUGUAUUAUAAUAGGCUUGGCUCAUACAAAACUGAUUAGGCCCGUACGAAAACCUGCCAUACAAUGGGCUCGGCCCAUACAAAUACCGAGCCUGGAAUGGGCUAAGAAUCGGGCUUCAGACAAUAAACAUAAAAAUAGGUUACGAAGAAAAUAAUCUUCCUUGCAUGGGCCAGUGUUCACUGGCCCAAAUUCGAUUCCUACUAAGAGGGCUUCAACGGCCCAAAUUUGGUUUCGUACUACGCGGGCCUUAUUGGGCUACAGGAACAUUUAUGACAUUUUCAAGGCUCGAUAAUGAAAAAAAAAUGAAUUGUCAUAAAUCAGUGACGACGCAAAGAUAAAAUUUAUGACGAAAAAACACAUUUUCGUCAUAGAACAUCUUUAAUUACAGGAUAUAGGUGACGAAUGAAUUGUCAUGUGAGCGUCACCAAUUAAGAAACAUGAUGAUAAACCUAGUUUUUGACAUAAAUGAAACAUUAUAGAAGGCCACGUGUGUUGUAGUGUCAUUUUAUAGGGUUACCUUUAAUACCGGCUGGUGGGUCGAGCCGGUACUAAAUAGUUGCAUGUUACUACCGGUUGGAAGAUACCAACUAGUACUUAAUAUGCAUGAACACCAUUUAGUACCAGCUCCACCCACCAGCUGUACUAAAUAGCUUCCUAGGGAAUCUAUUUGUUAGCCACACAGUCCAUGUACCGCCAUUUAGUACUGGUUGAGACUCCAAACUGGUACUAUAGGGGUUCCAGUGGUACUAUGCAUGACGACUGGUAUUAACGCCGCGCGUUAGUACCGGACGAAAAGCCGUCCGGUACUAACGCGUUUGGACGCGUUAGACGAAUGCUCAAUUUUCCAGUAGUGAAUCAAAGUAUGGUUAAGCCAUGCACAAACAUUAAUUGAUAAUAACAAAUUAACAUUUGAAAUAGAGUUCGUGAUAUAUAGGUGCUUGUUUGGUGCUUGAGCGGUGCCACAUAGGCUCUAGGUCCACUUGUCAUUUUCGAUAUGUGGUACCAUUUGCUACAUGUAUGCAUUUGAGGCAUAAGCAUUAGUAAGGAAGAAUAUGAAGAGCAUAAUGGAUGACGAAGGAAUGAUACAUGAUUACGGAGGUUGAAGACAAUGUGCCUAAGCUCAUAUUCAAGUGCUCAAGGUCAGUGAAAAAGAUGGGCUUUGAAUAGGCUUAGGUGUGCUUGAGAAGAUAUGGUACAUGUGCUGUCGAGAUACCCACGGUUGACGGUUCAACUGGUUCGGGAGGUAUAGUCUUAUCAUCAACAGCAUUUGAUAGGAACCAGGAAAGAUUCUGGUUUGGUGUUGGAAUCCAACUGUCCAGAUCUUUCAUAGGUAUGCCGGGGCUUUUGUUGUCAUUUAAGGUGAAAUGACUGCGGUGAGUUCUAAACCAAAUCGCCGUUGAACUGGUCAAGGGUUCUUGAGGGGAUUUGAUCAUUGAGCUUCCUAGGGAUGUUGUUCGCUAGCUUAGCUACUUGGAUUCAUGCAACAUACGCUAAAUGCACUCUAGUGCAUUCAUGGAUAAGGGUUGGUGGGAAGGGAAAUUUUCUUGGCAAACCCUAUGUUAGCUGAAGGUAAAGAAGGAAGCGUAUACCAUGCUCAAGAGGAACACAAGCAAGGACACCGAGUUAGUGUAUAUGGAUGGUGGUGAAGACCUUGCUCAUGCCUUUAUCAUUUUUCUUGAAAUAGGAUGAAUAUGAUGGAGCUUGGUGAGGGGAUCCCUUGCUCCAAUCCAUGGUGAGAAGAAGGGUGGAGGUACUUGGGGUGAAGUUCCAGUAUUUUUCAUGAUCAUGAAUAUUAAAAAUGUCAUUAUUUAUUUAUUGUGAAAUUAUUCAAUAUGCUUUGCUUGUUAAACCAAUCCUUAUCAAUGUGAUUUAUAGACGGUUUUGACAUAAAAUUAAACCAACGGGUAAAUUCAAAACCAACAUCACCGUUCUUCUUUUUUGCAUACUGGUUUUCUUUAGAACCAUCAAUCUUUUUUAUGAUUUUGAAGUCUUUAUGUUUGUUUUUAGAAUUUCCUAUACUUAGUGACCUUUUGUUCUGUUUUUCUCUUUCAUACAAAUUUUUAUUCAAAUUUGGUUUGAAGUCCAAAAUUAUUUUAUUCAUUUCAGAAAUUUGGUUCUCUCUUGUAAUCUUGGAAUCUAUGUAUUCAGUAACCAUGCCUAGUAGCAUGUUCAUUUGAGUAGUACAUAUAUACCUGUUUCAAUUUUUUCAUUGAUGAACUUUACAAUCUAACCAUUCUAGUAUAGAUCUGGUGAUAAUUAGAAACUUCUUUUCUUAUGAAAUCAAAACUUAUCAAUGUGAUAAGUUGUAGACAGUUUUUCUGCAUAUUCUGAUAGGUAAAUUCAAAACCAUUUCUUAAUGACUGUUCCGAUGGUGAUCUUUUGUUACCGUAGCUAGGAUUUUACCAAAAAUAAUAUGCCACGAUAAUAUCUUUAAAAGACGAAUUCCGGACAGCCAUUCGAGGCUUUCUCGGGCAGUGGAUGUGCCACGUCGCCUGCUUUAUCCGCGCCGUUAAUUAGCUAGUAUCAUUUAUCGGACGGUGGGAACAGGUCCGUCAGCUAGACAGCAAGGGUUAUCCGGACCUUUCCUAAAAGGUCUGGUCUAGAACGGCGACUGUUCUCUCACGAUAAAAAGCAAACUGCACUGACGCUUCUGUUCCCAACGUUGUUGUCAGUCCAAAUCAACUAAGGUCUUAGUUACCUUGAAUUUGGGUGUCUAAAAUUACUGUUGUAGCACUGUAGCACACUGUAGCGUUUCGUUUGUAUUUGUGAAUUAUUGUCCAAAUAUUGACUAAUUAGGCUCAAAAGAUUCGUCACGCAAAGUACAACAAAACUGUGCAAUUAGUUUUUGAUUUAGCUACAUUUAGUACUCCAUGCAUGUACCGCAAGUUUGAUGUGACGGGAAAUCUUCUUUUUGCAUAGGGCUAAAAUUGGGAGUUUGGAUGGAACUAAACAAGACCUAAACAGAGCCCCAUCCAAAUCCGAAAGCUAGAUACAAUCCCGCCAAAUACAUCCAAAUCCAAUUAACAUGAACACAGGAACAUCCAGGUAUAAAAAGACGCAGGCAAAUUAAUACCGUCAACGUCCGGCCCUAAAGGCUGGGUAAUUAAACGGAACCUUGCUUUAGUUAGAAAUUAAUCCCUUCACCCUAAUCUUUCUUUCCCUUAAUCUCUACUAAAAAAACUCAUCUCAAGUACCGUGCAUCAAACCUAAGAGAUCUGGAGGACCCUAGUAGACAAUAAUAUGUAGACAUUAUGUUGACGCAAAAACGGGUUACGCCAAAUACUCAAGCACUCGAGCGUGCAGUGGGCAGGUUCGCUCCUUGCGGUGCCUCUGCACAAACCAGUUUAGAUUGGUUUUGAGGCAAGUCAGACCGAGUUCGUCGCUAAACUUAGCAAUACCAACGAAUGCUCGCUCGAAAGGGACCAUGUUGAGGCAAGCGCGCCUAGAACACCCUCAAUCACCAUAGAGAUGAAGGAAGAACAUAGUACCGGUUGGAAGAGGUAGAGCAAAGAUUAAAAAAAAGUAAAAUGAUAAAAAGUAAUAGAUUGAUUUGGGUUUGAUCUCAAUUGGAUUAACUUCAAUCGGCCGUGGUCCUUUAUAUUUAUAGGGAUGGAAGGUCUUGCUCUAUUACAAGUCAAAAUCUCUUACAAAUCCCGUGUUAAAAUAUAAUUUAUAACUCGAUUUGCAUAAAAAUAGUCCGAUCACCUGGUAAACUAGUAUGACCAGUAUUUUCCGUGCAGAUCUUCUUAAAGUCAUAACUCCUGAUUUGCCGAGAUGUGUUAAUUUUGAUCGUAAACACAUUACAACAGCAGAAUUUACAUGUUAUGGUUGGCUGUCCUAAAAAAUUAUAUCCCUGCUACUUCUCCAUCCCCAACCCAUAGUCUCGUACCAUCCCCCUCUUCCUACCCAAAACGAAGAAAUCGGACUCCGGUGAGCCACGGCCGCGUCCUCCGCGGCCGAUCAGAGGCGACGGUGCCAGCAGCCUCUGUUCCGCGAAGAGGUAUACUCCGGUCGCCCCCUCUCCGUUAGCCACCGUCAGCGGGCCCGGAUGGCUACUAUCGUUGUCUCCCACAACAUGCAAGGACACGAUCUAGUAGGCCUGAGAUUCAAAUCAGGCCCAGUCUACAGCCCACGAACCUUCGAUGCACGAAUACUCGCACAAAUGCACAAAGAGUUUAAUUCGAGCCCUUCCCUUUACACAAAAGGUACCCAAAAUUUUCGAAAAAAAAUACCUAAAAAUACUACAUCAUUUUAGGGUGACAUCCAUAUAGCUCUUGUCCACCGUGAAAAUCAAACAAGCCAUGUUCAUGCAUAUAUACCUUUCAUCUAUUAUAAAAGAAUUUGAUUUUACAUAUAUACUAGUAAUGAGUGUUACCUUUUAAAAAAAUCAACCAAAGUAUAUAAACUAAACCUAGAUAUGUGCUAACUAUACGGUUUCACCCCAUCCAAGCUCCAUCUCAAAUAAUCUAAACCUUGGUUGAGUCAAAAUGACAACAUUACCAAGAAUGCAUUUAAAACGAUGGUAUAUGUAACCAAGAUUUCUCACAAAUUGUUUUAUCAAGAAAGAAGAUCAACAGAGAUUUAUCUGUCAUUGGCAAGAAAAUAUGCAUAGCUGGUAGCCUCAAUAGAAGGCGCGGCAACGCCGCACCCAUGUUUCUAGUUUUUAUAUGCAAUUCGGUACAAUCAAUAUGUAAAUGUUUGAGUCAUAUAUAAUUCGGUAAACAAUUUUAAAUGUUAACAAAAAUCUUAAAUUCAAAAGCUAAGCACAAAAGUUGCAUGCAUUAUAAUACAAAUAGUUCAAACAUAUUAAGUCUAAAAUAUGCAUAGUUGAAAGAUGAUUACCAAAUUACUUGUCUGGCCUACGCUUUCUGAAGACCAUACAGUGCCAUCUUCGUCCAUUUUGAAGAAAUGUAUCCCGCUCAAGAUACCCCGUCUUUUUUGCUGCAUGUUUCCAAAAAGAGAUGCAAUAACUCUAUUUCUCUUCAUAAUUCAACAAUUCUAUAAACAAAAAAUAGGCAUUCAUCAACAAGCAAGUCUAUAGUUUCAAGAAAAGUGACAAUUAUAUUUGUUUCAAGUAUAAGAAAAAAUAUAUUUAUUCCUACUCUAUGAAUCAUCUAGUCUUGCAGACUUGUACUCAAAUCACACAUCAUGAAUCAUGAUGAAAACAAAUAAGAGCCAGAGGGGUCUAGAGUGGGCAGCUGGUGGAUGUACCACGACGUCAGCAUGCACAUCAUCAAGCAAUCCGGGGGUUCGGGCCUUUGCAGGCUUGCAUCUUUGCAACAAACGGCAGAACCAGAAACAAACAAAUAAAUUGCAGCCUUGGCCUUGCAGCCUGAACGGCAGCUUGCAGUAGACGGACUGCACGUCUCUCUCGCCACGCGUGCGUACCCGCGCUUGCUGCGACAGUGAGGAUGCGGCACCGCAGCUGGGUGCUUGCCGUGGCCGCUGAGCAGCAAACCACGACGGCGGGCGCAGGGUGGACGGCCGAGCCACGCAGGCACGGGCGCGUAGCGAUUGCCGAUCGGGCGGGAUAUGUUCGUCGGCCGCAACUGAAAUAUCGCGAGAGGAGCAGAGUAGGGCGCGCAUGCCGCAUGCAGGCGAGGAGCAGGACUUCGGGCUUUUUUUUUUUUUUACAAAUGGGCUUUUUUUUACAGGUAUGCCGUAGCCCACCGGGCAUACCCUGUAGCUAUGCCAAUCCGUAUGGAACAAUGCCAUGCACAAACACUAUAUUUUUUAGCAGGAAAUCGGCGUCCAAAACUAGGAGUGAUUCUGAGGGGUAUCACACACUCUCAUUCAUAAUUGUGGUUUAAUUAGUUUGGUAAUGGCUCAUGCAUCCGGACGCGUUGGACACUUAUCACCAAAAAUAUCUGACGCGAGUCCCACAAACACCUUCUCUCCUCCCACCUUAUCCUUUCUCUCCCAUAGUCCUUCCUUAUCCUUUCGUCAGGAGAAAAAUCACCUGCACCACUCACUCUCUCCCUCUGCCGCGCAGUUCAUGUGGGCACGGGCGCGAGGAGAAGGUGGCAACGACGGGGUGGAGCGGCAGAGGCGGAGGUGGGGCAGAGGGCGGCGGGGGAGGGGUCGCACGGAGAGGAAGGCCGGCAGCUGGGCGGAGGCAGAGUGCGGGGCGGCGGCGCUGGUGGAGUGCGGGGCGAAGUGUGGGGGCCGACGAUCUUGGGGCGGAGGCGAGUGGCGGUGGUCGGCGGCGGCGGGCGGCUCGGGCAGAGGGGCGGGCAACGGGGCGGGAGUGCGGGAGGCUCGGGCGGAGGGGCUGGCGGCGGUGGCCGGCUCGUGCGGAGGGGCAUAGGGGUGGGUGCAACAAGACCUACAUUUACAUGUGGCGACGGCGGGGGGCCAGGGGCGAGCCGCGCCGGCCGCCGCCAUCCUCCUCCUCCUCCACUGUUUCCUAGCGUCGGAUCCCGCUGAAUGCUCCUCCUGCCAAGGGUUGCUGCAUGUUGCAAGCGUAUAUUUAAGUGUUUUAGAUGUUUUAGAAGAAUGUUGCAAGUGUUUCAUGUGGUGUUGCAAAGUAGAUCUAGAUGCUGCAUAUGCUUCACGCACAUGUUGCAAGUGUUUUAUCUGAAUGUUGCAUUUUUAAUGAGAAAUUUGAAUGUUCCAUGUAAUAGGAAACAGAUGUUGCGGCGGAUUUUUUCCUCAUUAUCAAUAGAACAUGUUUUUUGAUAUUGCAAACGGUAAUUUUUUAUGUUGCAAACGUUUAUUUUCUAUGUUGCAGAUGUUACUUUUUAAUGUUACGAUGGACCAACGGAGCGUCCGAUGGGAAGUUUUUCCAUCAGAUGUUCGGGCGCUAGCAACGUCCUAAUUAGUUUCCAGCUAUGAAUAAGAGUCAUGAACUGGGACAGACGGCCUGUAUAUACUAAUAUAAUAUCAGCAUAUUCUCACAUUUUGUAUAUUUAGUUUAAAGGUAAUAAAUGAUGCUAUUCUUUUAAUGAUAGCGACAAGUAGUACGGUGAUCUUAUUAAUCUUAAGAGUUACUGUAGUCUAGUCUUUCGGGGUGUUUAUAAGGGCGCACGAACAAAUAUGUCUAUAAAAAUGGUUUGCAUGCGGUGAGGAAGGUACGCGGCGCCGCUCACUACUAGGCAUGCUUUUUUAGUUGGCACUAAUUAAUUACCUGGAGUAUAGUAGUAUAGUUUAUAGGAUGAAAGAGACAGCAAUUUUGAAUUUUUUUUGUCAACUAAUACAUAUUAAACUUGCGUCAACAUCUGUCUUUCUUCCAUCUCUCCUCGGAGAACCGAGGAGCGGAUGCGCGCGCUUCCGAGGAGAAACCGUAUCGACGCCCUAGUUUUCAAGCCCGACCACCAUCACGGGCUCGACCAGACGACCACGCCCGCAUACGUAGGAGUAUACCACACCCUGAACUGGACACGGUCCACGGGGUCUUUGAAGCGAACUGGACAACAGCUACCCAAUUCUAUUAUUUAUCGGUAGUAUAUACCACCUCUAUUUUAAAUUGUAUAGGUAGUCUUAAUUUUUUAAGUCAAACUCGUGUGUUUGGUAUGGAUUCAGAUUCUCACAGAAAUAUUUUGAAUUCAGAUUCUCUCGAGAAACGUUUCUCCGAUGAAUCAGAAUCACUAUGUAGAAUUGUUUGGCUAAAAAGCUUGGAUUCAUAUUCUUGAAAGGUUGAUAAGAAAUAUUAUUUUGUAUUAAAAAAUUAUAUAAAUGGAUAGAUUUACAAAAAAUAUUGAGAAUUUUUGUGGGUGAUGAACGAAUGCCAUCCAUUUUAAAUUAUUACACUUUAAGAGGACCAGUAUAAAUAUUUGUAGAUAAAAGAGUAGAUAAGAAAGGAAGAAUCAGAAUCACGAGAAACCACCUUCUUGCCAUUUCACUCGACAAGGCAGAAAGACAGAAUCGUUUCUCAGUGAUUCUCGUUGAAAUGUUUCUCAAUUGCAACGUUUGGCAGCAUUUCUCCAGUUUCUAGCAAGAAUCGGGCUGCCAAACGGAGCCUUAAUCAAUGUUUGUAGAAAAUAUAUUAAUAUAUACAACAUAUAUUUCUUGAUCUAGUGAAAUUAGUGAAAUUAGUUUGAUGUUAUAGAUCUUUGUGCAUCUUUUCCCUAUAAACUAGUUUAAAGUUUGAGUUAUGAUAAUUGCAAUUUCAAACAGAGAGAGUAGAAAAGAAUAUAUAUUCAUGUAGUGUAUUAAUAAAAUAUGUGUUAGGUAACUUCUCGUGUAACAUUUCCAACAGAGGGUUCGAGUUCUCGACUCAACAUAAUUCCUGCUAUUUUUCUAAAUUUAUUCUAGAAAAUAAUAGUACUAGUUUUGAGUGGUAGGCAACGUACACGUUCAUAACGAGGCACUACGGGAAAGCUAAAAAUUGCCGAGUGUAUUUUUUUGCCGAGUGUUUUUUUCGAGCACUCGGCAAACAAGCUUUUUGCCAAGUGUCAAGCCAAAAAUACUCGGCAAAGAAAAAACACUCGACAAACCACCCUCUUUGCCGAGUAUAAAAAAAAACACUCGGCAAAUAGGGGGCUUUGCCGAGUGUAAAAAAAGACAGUCGGCAAAGAGGGGGUUUGCCGAGUGUUUUUUUUGACACUCGGCAAAAAAAUAAUUUUUUUUCCUCUUUUCACCUUGAAAUUUUUUUUACUCCCCAAAUACAACAUGUGGUACUCCAUGUUAAAAUUUGGUAUAUUUUUAGAUUUAUUUGCUAUAUUUAUUUAAUUAAUUGUAUUUCAAGGAAAUUUUUGGUAUAAGUCAAAUUUGAACUGCAAGUGAUUCAAAUUAUGUAACAAAAUGAGUAGAAAAAUGAUAUUCAUGUUAUUUGGCCCAAUUUGAGACCUGACCCAUGAAAUAAAAAGAAAUUUCGAACACCUUGUUCAGGAAAUACGACCAUGAACGUGUGGGAGUAGUAUUUUUUAAUUGUAAAAAAACAAGCAAAGUCUGAAAAUCAUGAUAUUUGUCAUGAUGUGAUGAUAUAAUACGUGGAGGCUCUGAAAAAGAAUUGAGAAGGUUUUGCACAUUUCAUCAUAUACGAUGAUUACAAACCGAAGCAUCUCAAAAAAAGAAUAGUAACUUUGAGAAGGAUUCGAUAAGAUUUAGAGUCGAAGUGAUGGUCGAGUUUGGUUUGACUACAAAACUUUUUGUAUAGUCAAUAGAGAAUAUAUAUUGUUUCGUGUGAAAAUUUGGUAUUUUUUUGAAACUGUUAGAUAUUUUUUAUUUUUUUAAAAAAAAUUGCCGAGUGUCCUACGUUAGACACUUGGCAAAGAAACCCUUUACCGAGUGUCCACAUAGGACACUCGGCGACUUUUUUUACCAGCCUCACCUCCCCGGACCCUCAAAACACCCCCACCUCCUCUCCCCGUGCGCCUCCCCUCACGCCGCCCCGCCUCCUCCUCCUCUCCCGCUGGAUGCCGCCUCCCCCCCUCCUCCCCUCCCGCCGGACGCCCCCCCCCCCACCCGCGCCUCCCCUCACGCCGCCCCCCUCCUCCUUCCCUCACGCCGCCCUCCUCCUCCCCUCCCGCCGGACGCCGCCUCCCCUCUCCCCUUCUCCCCCUAGAUCUGGCUCUCCCCUUCUUCCCCGGCGGGGGCCAGAUCCAGGCGAGGAUGGGAGGGUGGCCCUCCCUCCCUCGGCGAACGGGCCAGAUUCGGGCGGCGGGGGCUAGAUCCGGUGAGGAUGGGAGGCGGCCCUCCCUCCCCCGGCCGGAUCCCCUCCCCUCGCGGCCGGAUCCGGUGGCGGCGGGUGGCCCCCUCCCCUUCAACUCAGCGACAGGUGGCAUGGCGGCGGGUGGCCCUCUCCCCUUCUCCUCGGCGGGUGGCGGUGGGUGGCCGGGCGCCCCCUCCCCUUCUCCCCGGCGACGCGCGGCCUGCCACCGUCGUCUCCAUCGUCCUCAUCGACAAGGUCGGCCGCCGGAAGCUCCUCCUCGAGGCGUGCGUGCAGAUGCUCGUCGCCCAGACGGCCGUCGGCGGGAUCAUGCUGGCGAAGGUGAAGGCGGACACGACCCGAGCUCCGGGUGGCCCGCCUCUCCCCGGCGGAUGUGGCGGCGUGGGGGGCGGCGGCCAUGGCGAGGCGGCGUGGCGGGCGGCGGCCGUGGCGAGGCGGCGUGGUGGCGGGUGGUAGUUGUGGCGGUGGUGGAGGCCGGUAGGCGGUGGCUGUGGCGAGGCGGCGGUGGUGGAGGCCGGUGGUGGUGGCUGGCAGUGGUGCCGGUGGUGGUGGCGGCUGGCAUUUUUGGUUUUUUUAUUUUUUUUGAAAAAUAUGUUUGCCGAGUGUUUUUUUGUCACUCGGCGAAAGUUUCGCCGAGUGCACGACAUAAAACACUCGGCAAAGUUAACUUUGCCGACUCAAAAUUUGUCGUGUGCCGUAUGCCGAGUGUUACACUCGGCAAACGUUUCGCUGAGUGUUUUUGGUCCUUCGCCGAGUGCCCCAGGCACUCGGCGAACUUUCUGUUUCCAGUAGUGAGCAUCUAUGAUAACAUUGUCGAUUCAAAAUUUGCCGGUUAAGUCGCUCGGAGACGCUCGUAGGGGUAGCAUUACGUGUGUCAAUUCAUAAAGAUAAGUGUUGUAUAUGAGUGUUUGUAUUUGUAUUAUGUUUCAACAGAAAAUUAAGUUAAUAUUUGGUAAGAAAAUUAAGUUAAUAUUUGGUGGUUCUUCGUAAUUAUAGAAUUAGCAGGUUAAAAAAUAUAUAAUUUCAUUUAGUUCUAUUUUGUUAUUUUUUAUUAGUAACUUGUACGAGCCCGUCAACUCAGCACGGGCUAAUAAUUUUCAGAGAUAUAUGCAUUAGAAUUUAUUUUGCAGAAUUAGGAUGCAUAGCUUUAUUUACCUUGCGCUCUCUCGUUUAUUAAAUAUUUUAACAUAAUGCUGAUAAGAUUAAUGAGACAAUCAAGCAUCACUUUUUUUUAUUGUCAUUGAAGCUAUUUGGUGAAUUGUUUAGAUCGCUACCGGCUUAAUCCCACCAAGAUCACUUAAUCAUAUGCUAGGGAAUUGGUUAACAAGAUCACUUAAUCAUAUGCUACGGAAUUGGUUACCAGGCACAGAAAACAAGGUAAAAAAAUUAAUCUUUGUGGAGAUCUGAUGCCUUAUGUGUGCUAUUUGGUGUCAUAGUAAUUAUAUAGUGAGGGACAUGGGUCUCCACGGGUCCCCACCGAUCAGGAUACCGACCAGUCUGACAAGUAGGUCCCGCUUGACCAUGGCGUACAGGGCAAGGCAUGAAGAUGCAUGGAGAUCAAGCUCGGAGGACGGGCAAACAGAUUCAGCCCGGAUAUCGCGGGAUAUAUGUUGUAGUCCGAUUCAGAUUGGUUUCCUGUGACAAUUGGCUAGAAUUAGAUUUUAUCCAACUUGUAACCCUAGAGAGUUGCCUACAUAAAGCGGCCGAUGGUAAUCCAACUUAACGCACCUCAACCUUUCGCAUCACAUACCAGCAAUACAAUCCACUAGAACACAGGGCGUAGGGUAUUACUCUCCGGAGGCCCGAACCUGUCUAAACCCAUCGUUUCUGUGUUACCAUUCGUAUUCUUGGUCUUGCGAUCUCCUCUGCCUACAAAUCUACCACCUAGGCACCCCUUGGUGGACUGAUGAUCACUAAAUCCGACAGUUGGCGCGCCAGGUAGGGGUGAUUGUGAGAUACUCCCAACGAGCUUGAUGGCAUCUUGCCCCGACGUCAUCUUCCCCGACAACAUGAAGCCCACCCACCCACGCCAUCGGAUCUAUUCGCGGGGUCAGCAUUUGCGUUCUACAGCAAACGAGAGCGCACGCCGCCGACCACGCAUGACCGUGGACUCCCGGCAAGAUCGCAGGAUCCUCUUAGCAACAUCUCCUCAGGAUGGAGAUAGUAGAUUGAUCUUGUUUUGUUUUGUGCAAGUUAAUCAGUGCUGAUCUUUUAUUUCUGAUCUAAACAUGCCGGCGUCAUGGGUCGUUGACGACGGCAGCUACUGCGGGAAAUCGGGUCACACGCCGACCUGAUUUGCACUUGCCUACACCAAACUGGCCGCCACCCAGGACUUCAUCUGCGUCGGCUUGAUGGGCACACGAAGGGUCCAAACACACUCGUCCAUCCCUGUUCCGCCGGCGUUGUCUCCAUGACUACCUGCAUGGCUGCCACAUGCGGCCAAGGAAAAUACAUCUUCUUCAAUUUCUAGUUCUUUUUCAAUCAAAUCGACUGGCCACUACAUAUUUUUACACGUCUAAUAAUUCCUAAAAGCUAACGUGCACUUACAUGCAUAGCGUGAUGGAGCCUUGCUCGAUUACCAACCAUCUGCAGGAAUAAGGCGAUACCCAUAUCUGUAGCCGUGCAUGGAUCGUGUGGUCGGCGGCAGCUAUGAACACUCCAUCGACUCGCCUUUGAGCUGCACGACUCGGCAGCAACGUCCCAUGGUCCCGACUACUGCGCCAUGCACCGCCGCUCCUGCAACCAGCACCGCCGACCACUUCUACCACCGAACCCGGUAUCAGCUUCGUCAACAACUGUUCACCGAUGGCGGUCCACUCGGGCACGGCGCUGACUCUCCAACUCGGCCACGAAUCACGCUACUUGCCUUUGAGCUGCACGACUCGACAGCAACGUCCCAUGGCCCUCACUACUGCGCCACGCACCGCCGCUCCCGCAACCAGCACCGCCGACCACUUCUACCACCGGAUCCAGCAUCAGCUUCGUCAACAACUGUUCACCGAUGGCGGUCCACUCGGGCACGGCGCUAACUCUCCAACUCGACCACGAAUCACGCUAAGUUAUAUAUUCAAUUAAAUAUUUAACAGCUUCCGUAUAUUCGUAUAUUUCCAUACAUCUCGACUUUUCUCCAUGUCUCCAUGACUUUCACCAACCACAUUGGUCGCGCCCCGACUGCUCAUACAGCUUGGUCCGUCCACUACACGUGUAGUAGGGGGUUGCGCCCUAUGAGUGGCCAGCGCACAUUCUCGCUUUUCCUCACAUUUCCAACUACUUUGCGGCUUGUCCGUCUCUCUCAACGGUUGCUAAAAUACUCGGGUAGCACAUAAUCCGUGAAGCCUCGCCCUCAUGUGUUGCUUCUGCUCGAGCCCACACCCAACAAUACUCCGGCAUGGUCAGGUGCUUAAACAUAACAUGCUAACUACUCGAGGAAAUUACAUGGCCUACAAGAGAGGAUGCGCAAGAAUUUACUUCUAUGCCGAAUAAAACUCUGAGUUAUUCAAUUAUUAAAUGCUCUACAUUAUGCUACAUAAUCUUUGUAUUGUCCUUUUAUAGCUCCGAAAACUACUCGGUGUGCCUCCCAUUGCCCAGCCAACCUUUCUAGCUCAAGAAGGAAGACGACUCAGCAUGCCUCCCAUUGCCCGGCCAACCUCCCAAGCUCAGGGGCUGGGUGCGGGAGGUGACUUGGCGUGCUUCUGUGGCUCGUCCGGCUCCUAGGCUUGGGGGCUGGAUGCCACAGACAACACGGCGUGUGUCCUUCCACCCAGCCGGGUUGGCUGUGGGAGGCAACUUAGCAUGCUUCCGUGACUUGUCCGGCUCGCAGGCUUGGUGCCACAAAUGACUCGACGUGCCUCCUGCCACCCGGUUGACCUUCCAGGCUGGGGGGCUAGGUGCGGGAGGCGACUUAUUAGCGUGCUUCCGCGGCUCAUCCGGCUCCCAGGCUCGAAGGCUGGGCGCCAUAGACAACUCGACGUGUCUCUUGCCACCCGGCCGACCUCCCAGGAUCAGGGGCUGGGUGCUGGAGGUGACUUGACGUGCUUUUGUGGCUUGGCCGGCUCCCAGGCUCGGGGGCUAGAUGCCACAGACGACUCGGCAAGCCUCCUGCUGCUCGACCGACCUAGGCAGAACGAGGAGGGGGGGACUCGGCGUGCCUCCGUGGCUCUACUAGUCCUCGUGCUUGGGGGCUGGACGCCUAAUUUUGGUCGGCGUGCUUUUGUGGUUUCGCUUGCCCUCACGCUCAGGGGUUGGGCGCCUAACUUUCGGUCAACGUGCCUACUGGGCUCUGCUAGUUCUCGCGCUCGGGGGCUGGAUGCCUUAUUUUGGUGACUAACAUACGCCUACCUUGUGAUUUACAAUAUUUCUAGAACCUUGGACCGAUUACUUUAAUCGCUUCAAGGCUCGAGGGCUGCUGCAUAUGGAGUGCGUCUUGCAACAUCCUCCAUGUGCUUCCCUUCGAUCUACAGGAUGCCUAACAUCCAAGAGCUCGACAGUCGCUCCAACAUGUGCACUUGGUCAUGCGCUUGCUCAAAACUUUUUUUUCUUCUUUUUUGAGCACCGCGCAGCCUCUCUAUCACAAAGACAAAACUGCAUCUUCAGCCGGGUACAUCGAAGGCCUUGUUGCGCAUCGGUCAGGCCACAUUACUCGGGGGCUUGAGGGAUAUAGGUACCCAUGGGUCCUCACCGACCAGGAUACUGACGACCUGAUAAGUAGACCCCGCCCGAUCAUGGUGUUGAAAAAGAUACUGAGAUAUCUCCAUUAACUAGUUAUUGAGGAAUAUUCAUCGGAAGACCACUCGAGGUGCUCUUACCUCAACCUGUUGGAUGAGGCGUCCCCAUCGACAUGUUCAUCUUCUGCAACUGCGUAUCAUACACCGGAGGAUUCGUGCCAUCUUGAAACAGAGGAAUCUGCCUUGUGAUUACUUUGAUGGCAAGGCCUGCAGCCCGUCUCCUUGUGCAUCGUGCUAGCAGCCAAGAAGCUCAAGAUCGGUGAAAGUUUAUCAACCAGAAAUGACCUCGGCGUUUGCUACAACAUGGACUAGGGUCGUGAGGAUGCAGGGCCGGUCCUGAGUUUUCGGGACCCAUGCGAAACUUAUGUUGGAGACCCCUUAAAACACAAAACAUCAAGUUUAUUUUAUAGCAGUUGGUGAUACUGUGCAGUUUGUGCUAUAUUUACAAGUCAAAACUAUAGCACACAUGCUGCUACAUCUAACCAGCUAUACUAGAGUUAAUUUUUAAAUCAACAUUAAAAAUUUGAUUUGGAUCUAAUUUGUGUACAAGAAAUAGGAAAAAAUGGAAGAAUAUACCAUAAGAAACUAAAUGCUAAUCUAAUUAGUUGUGGUCUAAUCUUUUUCCUUAGUCAUCGGUGGUGCAAGGAUGGACUGGCGGUGGAGAUGAAUUACUGAAUGGGUGAUUGGAUAAACUUGUACCAGUUGUUUGCUUGGUUUAAGUUGGGCACUUAGUAUACAUAAACUAUAUGUAGUAUACAAGUAUACUAGGCUUUAGGGGCCUGGGCGGUUGCCCCGGAUGGAUACACUACAGGGCCGGCUCUGGAGGAUGGUGUUUUUGCCAUCGAUUCCACGGAACAAAAAUCACUUCCGCCAAAGUUUACGCACUCUUGCUCAUCCUAAUCACUUAUUAAAUGCUCAAUCUAGUACAAUGACUUGUCAGGUAGCUGCAAAUUGAUCCAACAACUUUUAAAAUGCUCUAUGUAGUACAAUAACGUGGCUGCAGAUUGGUCCAACAACUUUUAAAAUCCCCUAUCUAGUAUAAUAACUUGACAUGUGGGUGCAGAUUGUUCAAAAAAUUUAUAAAAUGCUUAAAUUAGUGCAAUAAAUCGGUAAAUUGGUGCAUCCGUAGUCCCAAUGUUGUAACAAGCAACAUAUUUGUUAAUACCGAGUCAGAGUACAGUCGCAUAGAAACAAGUUAUUGAGCAUUAUUUGACCAUUGAUAUUCAUGUCGCAGAGGUUUGGUUAGGACUAGAACCUAUUUAGGAAAUUAAUGUUAUAUCUUCGUAUUUAUUAUUUUUAUAUAAUUAUUUAAUUAUAAUUAGGAAUAUUUAAUUUCAUAUUCAAUAUUGAUGACCUCACCCUCGCUGUUUUUACAUUUUGAUUAUAUGCAUUUUUGUUCAGUUAAAAAUCCAAUAUAUUAAUACUGCUAACAAUACCUUUUAGAAAUUUAGCAUAAAUAUAUUUUAAAGCCACAUGUAAUUGUUUAGAAAGUAAACUAGCAGAAAUAUGCAUGCUUCUCUGUGGUUGUUGAAUACAUAAGCAGAAGCGCAAAAAAAACCUAAGACCUUAGGAUCUUUCCUGUGGACUAUAAUCUUGAGUAAUGCCAACGGUGUAAUUCUAAAAAAAAUUCAAUUUUGAUUAAUGAACAAAUAAGUUAUGUACAUAAUUCAGAAGCAACAUGCAAUUCACGAUCUACGACUUUUAUCAAUAAAAAAUAAGAAUUAUUGAUUAGAAGAAAAUUGGCAUGCCCAUCUAGUUGUUUGUUAUGUUAUCAUUGUAACGUUUGGACUGUAGGUGCACCAAAUUGCUAAAUUAUUACACUAAAUUAAGCACAAAUUGCUAAAUUAUUACACUAAAUUAAGAAUUAUAUAAGUUGUUGAACCAAUCUGCACCUAUAUACUAAAUUGAGCAUCUCACUGGUGGUUAGACCAAUCUGUACCCACUACGAGUUAUUGGAUGUUGCAUAGUGAGUGCAAUUUAUUUAUUUUUAUUAACUGCAUUUACCUUUUGCAAUCUACCUCUGUGCUCGACUUUCCUAGAGUAGUUGCUAGGAUUUAGUGGAACUCCCUCAGGUUUCGAACUAGGUAGCAAGCUUGUUGAGCGACUGAGAACAUGAUAAAACAUAGAUCAUUUUUAGGAACUAAUAUAUAUUUAUCUUCGAGCCAAUUACUUUUUUGUCAAACAACCUUUUUGUUCAGUGCAGUCCAGAUACGAUUCCAAUGUUUUUCGUCUGAGAGGCAAUUUUAAGUGUCUUCAUUCCUCCCUUCGGAGCACAUAUGCAUGAUCCAUGUAGGAGCACCAUGUGAUCAGCCAGUCAAACAAACGUCGUUUUUGUACACAGUGCAGUCAAGAUACGAUGCCAAAGCUUUUCGUCUUGAGACAAUCAGUUCAACAAGGAUACCACCUACGUGUAAACCAACCAAGACAUGGCUGUAAAAAGGUCACAUGUUGGCUUUUCUAAUUAUUCAUUUCUAGCAAAUACGAACACCAGGUAGAUCUGGUAGGUACAGGCACAUGUGUAUACCGUCCUGUACAUGAGGCUGUUUACUUUUGCUCGCUGUAUCGCAUGAUCCCAUGGACAUCAACGAUGCCAGGGGGAAACACUGGAUCUGUCGCUGCUCUCACCGCAACCUUCGCCACGGAGGUAACACUCACUGGGGGUGUCAACAGUGGGCCGACAAGUGGUAAUCUGGCCAACGGCUUUGCGUUCUGGAGCACCUGCAGAGAUAGAUCACUUUCACAUUUAAUCAAGCCACAAUGUGAAGCAGUUCAUAACGAAAUAAAAUCAUGUAAAGUACUAUGCAAACAAUAAUUUGCAUUGAGCAUUACAAAAUAAUAACCACAGCGCUUUCUGCCAGUAAAUCAAGGAGCCUAGUUGGAUUGGACGAGGCGUUAAUACACAAGUUGUCAUUGAUAUAAUAGUUCGGAUAAAGCAAAACAAUAACCACAACAGAUGCCACCAAUUAUCUUUGUUGUAUAAGGCAUGAAAGUUGCAUUUUCUGUAUGGCAGUAAAUCAAUGAGACCAUGUGUGAACUGCUUUCGGAAACCUUGUCGCUAACUAAAUCCACCCUUGAUCAUUCGGGAGGAUGGAAUGAGAGAGAGAAAGGUUUGGGUCAAUGAUCUUGCUCAAUGAAGUAGGAUGCAAAACUUCAAUUUCAAAUGAAAUUCACUAAACAUUACAAAUUUGUGCUCUUAGGUUCAUUUCAGUGCACUAGAUGCAUUAGAUCAUCAUAUAGAUAGGGAAGAAGACCAACAGACGUUUAGGUUCAUCCAGUUUGUGGCACAAAAUCUGAUGGCCAUUCCAAUUCAUUGUUUGCCUAGUUGCCAGUUGGUCCAUUUGCUCUUUCUGUGGCAAACUAAAAUUAUCCUUGUAGUGACAGAAAACUAUCAAUGUGAGUUUCCACUUUUAUAACAAAUAAAUGCAAUACACGUCUCUUCUCGACUACUUUAUCGUACCAAAUGAUUAUCUCAUCAAGAAAGAUAACUAAAAUUGCAUGCACUUAUCAGGAACUACUCCAAAUAAAACCCUUCAUCCCCAUGAGGGUCAAGGACAGGUCCUAGAGACAUUUAGUUUGCUGUCCUAUCAAAAAAAGAAACACAUCUAGUUUAUUCAACCACCUUACACUGGUUGCAUUUGGCAUGCCGUGGCUUCUCAAAAACGUAAUUUAACUAUAAAAUAUUUUUGUUUUACUUGCAGGUUCAGUGCUAACUAGUUUUAAAAUAGCAUUUAGCUACUCUUGGCAGAUGGUCUUCACUUACUGUGCACAUUACUUAUUUCAAAUGAUAAAAGUUAUGAUUCAAAAGUGCAUUAUUGCCACUGCCGAUCCCUAAUUGAAGAUUUGACAUCCAAAUUUGCCACUGAAAGUAUUUCAAUUCAGUUUGAUUUGCCACUGGAUUAUACAUGAAUUACAAACCCAAAGCCCCUAUCACAACCGAUUUUAAGUGCAGACUUCCAACUAGUCUAUUUCCAAUAGCUGAAAACAAAAAUAUGCCAAUGCCAAAUAUGCAUACCACCCAAAAUAAUAGAGCUCCACUUGUUCUUUACAUGUAACUGAAGGAAGUGAGGAGAGAGACCUCACCAUUUGCAUAGGGGCACCAACAAGACCAAGAGGUAUCUUUACACUGCCCACUCGACGAGUUCCAUGAAUAAAACCAGGCCUCAGUAUCACUCCUAAAGAAAAAAAAACCAAAAAAGAAAUAUAAAACCAUCGUGCAAGUAUCAGACUCAGAGCAUGAUAAUUACAAAAUGAGAGAUACAAAAGAUCCUAAAGGAUUGCUUCAAUUUUUUGUGGUGUUGAAAUAUAGAUGCAGAUAAACACAAUUUUCACUAAUAAUUUUAAAUGAAACACAUCAUGCAAGUCAAAGUUGCAUUCAUAGUUCCAAGCCAAUUUUCUGGCUACUAAAUACAUCACUUGUCAGUAGACAUAACCAACUUGUACAGUUGUACUAGCAAACUCCUGGAAAGCAGAAUGUGUAGAGGUGUUAUGUUUGGAACACGAAGGCUUAUAAGCUGGGCCUCAACCCACCUAAACAUCCAAGGUGACACUAAACCACCACAACAACACAACUAGGCCACAUGGGCCAACAUCACCACUACUAACAAGCUGCUAACAAGCUGGUACAUUACAUUAAUCAAAUGAAAUAACUUACCUCCAUAGGUGAACUUUGACAGCAAUUCAGCUUCAGCAGCUCUCUGAACCAAAAAAAAAAAGUAUACAUAUAUAUAUAUAUCAAUUAUUGCCAACAAUACAGACUUACAGGGGAACACAAACUGCAAUGCAAUGGAUCAACAUGUCUUUCAGGCUUACUCCCUCAGCUUCCUGAAUCCUGAUACUAAGAACUUUUCACUAGCUCACUCAUAACAAGGAAAUUAGCUUUCGACGAAAGCAGACUUAAAUGGUGCCCUAACAAGAUGGUGUGGAGCACUGCAUAGGUUUGACAAUGCCAGGUGCCAACAAUUUGAAGAUGAAGUUAUUGGUCCAAUUAGUCAAGAAUUUAGAAACCAACAAAAAACAUAUGUAGCGCAAAUUUAUUGUUGUUCCAACUUAUAGUAGCAGAUGCUAUUUAUGCAAACUCUUUACACUUGAUUGUAAUUUCAGUAUUAUAAAUGCAGAUGGAGCAAGAGUUAAUUUCAAAUAUGCAUGGCAUGUCAAUAAUGUUGAGAAGUUACCUUGCCCUCGUAAUAACCCUGCAAUAAGUAAUUCACUAAACCGAAGUCUGCAGCCGACACAUAUACAAAUCUCUUUACACCUGCAGGUACAGAACAAGUAAAUUGACAAGCUAAAGAAGAUGCUUCUCAAAUAUAUCAAAUUUCAUUUGCCAUUUUUGUCUGCAAGAAUAGCAAACAAUGGAAUUUUAAGAACCUACUGGAAAAUUAAAUCAAAUUCAACAGUUGUAGACCAGCCUAAUGCGAAUAUAUUGACAGAAUCAUAUCUACAAGCAUAAUUAAUAGAUUGCACCCAAUACUUUUUAGAUACUGAUAAGUGUCAAAACCUGAAUGGAUUUCAGCUGCCUCAUUCGGCAGAGAAACUUUGGGCAUGCAAAAUGUUUCAGAUAUAGAGUUCCAUGUCAAAAUCCAACUCAAACAUGGCAUCCCAUGGACAUGAGACUUGUUAUCCAAAUAUAUGAGCACGAGUGUCAGAACCUGACUCCACAUGCUUUUGUCUUGGCAUGGAUGCCCAGGUAACACUAAAUGCAUUGAACCGUCAUGCAAACAAACAAAAAUGACAGGGAGGGAGGGAAACUUAAAAGUUUGAACUGCAUAUAACUAAUGUGUAGGUCCAGCUCAAUAGGCCCUCUAGCCUACAGUUGGCACAUGAGGCCCAGGUUGCAUUUUGUUUGUCACUUAUAGGGCGGCACAUUUUCACUUAACUCCGUUUCACAUUGUAUGACAACGAGAUUGCAGGAAGCACUAGCAAGAAACAGCUCUUGCUACCACUUAGCCUGCACCCUCUCCCUCUUUUCCUCUAUUUAUUUUUUGUUGGGUAAUUGUUUAGCGCUUGUUUUGCUCUCCCCGUUUGCUUUUGCUGAAAGUCAAUGGAGCAGGUGAACUCCCUGGCCAACUACCUGCCGUAUAUGGCAGCAGUGCCAUGAGUAGAGGGGCUGUAUGCCCUGUCAUGUAUAGUACUAGUAAUAGGAAGAAUAGUUGGUAGUUCUACUCAUUGUAGUAUGCACUCUUAGUUGACUUUUGGUGCUAUAUAGUAUGAAGAGCAGCUGCAGCUCCAGAGUCAGUUCAGCAGCAACAAGUUUGUGUGCGCGCGCUGUGCUCCACCUCAUCUUCAACCUCCAGACUAGUGUGUGUGUGUGUGAUCUGUGUGAGGGUGUGAGCUCAGGGAGCUUACCUGCCUGGGCCAACAUUUUUCUCCCUCAAAUCAAGUUUGUUUGCAAUAUCUAUUCUCUUGAAGCAUGUCUAGUGUUAUUAAACUAAUUCCACCAUACGACAUUUAUAACCUAUUCAACGUAUAUCUGUUUAUCUACCACAUCCAAUAUCUGUUUAUCUACCACAUCCUGUAUCUGCCUUUUCCUAUUUUUAAAAUUUUUUACCUCUUUCUUAGUUCUCUAUGGGUUGAUGACUACCCCACCUCACUUGCUUGGGAAAAAAGGCUUUGUUGUUGUAUCAAGUAGCUGUGGUUUGGGUCUUUGGGACUAGUCAGAUAAAGUUGAAUCAAGAAAGGCAAGCAUCCAUACCAAGCAGAACACUUCUAUCAACCAUUUAUUUGUAACUUAGCCCAUAGAGCCACCCUGUGGGUACGAAACACUCAACCUUGGCCAGAAGCAUCCCCCUGCCUUUGUCUUAAAGAGAGGGGAACACUGAACCCUUUAUGAAGGUACUCACAAGUCACAAGACCUGCAAGAACCUGGGUGGCCCUGGAUGCUCUAAAACUGAGCCACUCCCUCCGUCCCAAAAAGAAUGCAACUCUCGCUUCUCGAGAAGUCAAACUGUUUCAAGUUUGACAAAAUUUAUACAAAAAAGUACUAACAUAAGGUUCUGUUGUCCUUUUCUUUUCUUAGGGCUCUUUGGUGCCCUUUGGACUUUUGCCCUUGUACAGUUUUAUUUUCCUUGUUUAAUAUACCUUACCACAAUGGGGGUCUCCCCCCACUGUAUAGUUUUCAAAAAAAAAGUACUAACAUUCACGUCUGCAAAUAGAUUUAGUAUGAAAAUAUAUUACAUGAUUAAUCUAUUGAUAUUUAUUUUGUACCAUAAAUGUUAGUACUAUUUUGUAUAAAUUUGAUCAAAUUUAAAAUUGGUUGACUUCUCGGGGAGCGAGAGUUGCAUUCUUUUUGGGACGGAGGGAGUAUUGUUUAGUUCUCAUCCUGUGAGUAAACACGAAAAGGGAAACAUGUGUCCUCUUUUAUCAAGGAAAAGAGAGGAAAAAAAUCAAAACGAUGGUGAAGGCGUACAAAUAUCAUUUCAGUGCAACCAAGCUGCUAUUCUAAAACCGAACUGAUAUUUCUAGCAUCUUUGAAGACUGCGGGACCACUUGAACUUUUUAAUAUGACAGAAAUAAGCCAGAAAAACAACAUUAUAAUCAUACAAAAAAACAUGAAUUCACUAAAAUGAUUACGCACAGUAAUUCAAUAAGCCAAGCAAGGGAAAAGCAGGAGUUUUGAUGUCAGAAACUGCAAUCAUAACUGAGGAAAAAAAAUAAUGUUUCACAAUAAUGACAUCAAUAGUACUAUACCUUUCUCAGCUGCAGCCUUAAUGGCAUUGAUGUUUGCAGUCCCAUUAAUCUUGUACAUGAAAGAAUUUGACCCAAAACCUCCAACACAGGAUAUCUGCAAUAAUUUUUCUCAUCUAUUAGUGGCACAUCAAAUCAGUGCAUGCUUGGAUACUUCAUGUAAUAGUUACGUCAUGACUUAUUCAAGUCCCAGUACAUAGUUGAAAAGUACCUGAUAUUUCAUGUAUCAAGCCAUACACGCUUCUUAUUAUUCUAGCAUUUGCAGAACCAGAACUGAUGGUGAAUACAACAAUUCUAGUUUAUCUACAAGUACAUUAUUGUAUAGAAAUAAAAGUUGCCCCAGAUGCUAUCCAUAAAACAGGGAUGAUAAUUGUUGAAUCAUUGUUACAGUGCACUACGAAUAAGAAAAUGACUAGGUCCAUGACAAAUCCAUUAACCUAGUCAUACAAAUUAAACAAGGGCAAACAGCUUCAUGCCAUAAAGUUAAAAUCGGGGAGCCUGGGCCUCAAGGGUAUUGAUGCCAAUUAUUGGUGUGAGUUCUAGCCAAGUAGCACUUGUGAAAGAUUAUAUUAGAAUGGCCAUAAACAGGCCCUGCAGCACCAAAUGUCAUGUAAAUGAAAGGGCAGGCCAACACCGCCACUCUGCCAGCAUCACCUACAUCAUCAGCCCAAUGCAAGCAUUGUCCAGUGAUGCCGAUUGGAGUGCUGCUCAAAAGUUUUGUGUACUGCUUGAGGUCCUAUAGCUCUGGACCUCUGGUGUCACAUUUCACAACUACUAAUGUUUUUUUUACAAAGUCCGAUAGUAACAAAAUAAGUUAUAUAGCUAUGAAAGAUUUACUCAAAGCAGUUGGUAUAAACAAAACAAACACUAAUACAAGUUUAGGAAGUUUUGCACAUGAGAUCACUUUAGAAGAUCUUUCUGUUAUGGAAAAAUUUUGGUAUCUUUCAGCUUACCCUGUGUUUAAGUGUGGAAAAACCUUGGUAUUAUAUCGCCACCCUAUAAACUACUCUGCAUGACACUAUUGAUAUGCAAGAAUGAUGUAAAUAACAACGAAAUCAACUAUAAGAAAAGAAAUGUGUACAAUAACAAACUUAGCUCAAAUGGUUUUGGGGAUGGGGGUGGGAGGCUUACCACUGCAGAAACAUUAUCCAUAGCAUCCUUAAAUGAAGCCGGUUCCAGGAGGUUGCCUGUCCGAUAGAAGAAGGUAGAUAUUAACUACAUUACCAUUGAUAGAACAGAGUUAACCUCAGUAGCAUGCAACCUUGAUUCCAUAUAACUUUGUCAGCCCAAGAUUCACUUAAGGAUGGCUUUCCAGAUCUAAUGACAAAAAAUAGCAUCGUAAGAAUUAGAAAUUACAGAACACAUUAAGGAGAAGAUGAAUUUGAAGUAUGAAAAGGUCCAUUUUAAUGCCAUUAACUAUUCAUUUAAUCCCUCACACAAAAUGCUGACUCAACUUACUCCCCUCAAACUAUUCAAACAAGAUCAAAUCGCCCUAUGAUGAAAUGACCUUUCUCCGUCCCUUCUCAUACAAGUUGUAUCUUGAGUUCAAAUUUUGUUGGGUCAUAGUUGACAUUAUAUCCUCUGUUACAAAAAUAAUUCAGAUCCUGUCAAGAAUUAUUUUCACCAGUUGGGAGCAUUUCAUAUUACUUUAACCCUCGAGAUAUGAAAGUGUAUGAAAAAUAUGUUUUUAGAGGAUCAAACAAACAAAGUGAAUUACCCGCAAAAAAACAGAAAGUGAAUUGCUCAGGGUAGUAAAAUGGACUUUUUUUCCAGUUUAAGGGUAUAGAAGUACGCAAAUUCAACUACAAGAUACUGUGUACUGUAACUGAACUGUAGGCUAAUCAAGUCUAGUACCAUAGAUAUUGACUCUACUACAUUUAGGAACUACCAAUAUGUUCUUCAUUUGUACUAAGAAAAUCUUCAGUGUGUGUUGUACUAAGAACAUUAAAUUGACACAUCUUCAGUGUGUGUUGAAACAAUCUGAUUCUCUUUUCCAAUUCUAUACAUGGUUUGCAAAUUAUCCUAGUUCAGGGUUCUGGUUUUGUUCUGACUGCUUUUCAUACUAUUAUGUUACCACCAAUUUUGCUCCUUCAACCAGAAAGUUGAAACAAGAUCUUGGGACAUCAUGUCUCUAGACUGAUCCAUAUGACAAACACUCCUCACAGCAGUAAAUUAUGGGUAGAACAGCACAAGUAAAGACAGGAGAAUGAGAGGUUAUUAUCAUUAUUGCUAAGGACACAAAAGGAAUCAACAGAAACUUGAUUGACUACCAGUUAUUUGAGGAUUAGAGUCAUUUGUUGUUUUCCAUGAAUGAUAUCUGAACAAAGCUAUGUGGUGAUUUUUAAGUUGACACCCUAGUCAAGUAGAAAUUUUAUUAUCACUCGGGUGUUUCUAAUGGCUUUUGGCAUACUGCAAGCAAAACUGAGCAAAUCUUAAUAGAACAGAAAGUCAGAACAAAUUGUAAAGUAUGAAACAAGAGAAACAAACUAGCUUAUUGAGUUACCGAUUAAGACUAGAGACAACAAAUCCUCUGUCCAAAGCCUCUUUGCAAACGUGUGAUCCAACAAAACCACUUCCUCCUAGCACUAGCAGCUAUAACAAAACAGAUGUAGGAAGCAGCUCAGUAGUCUUCAUAAACGAUGAAUUUCAAUAAAUUAAGAAAAGAAUGACUGGAAGCACAUCUUUUUUUUUCAAAAAUGCAGGAGAGCUGCAUUUCAUUAAGAAGAGAGAAUAAAAUACAAACAAGGGGUCAUAUGGAUCCCUUCCAAACACACACACUCAUACCUGUAUAAAGCAGUUACAUGCACGCCACUCACAAAUUACUUAAACAACCAGAGCACCUAUUUGGACUUAGAGUACAGGUUAAGCAACCUUGACCUAUCGUUGCAAAUUCGUUGGCUAUUACAUGUAGAAAAACCAUGAAAAGUAUAAAUCAUUGAUAAGAUAUAUCACUCUCAAGCCUCUUAAAUAUAAAACAUGUUACAAUAAGGAAGGUAAAGAGAAUAACGAUAAUGAUUUCUGAGUCUCCUAAAUCGCCUCCCAGCACUACAAAAACCCUAAGCUUGGAUAGUUGGUUUACCACCAAGUUCACCAUUAAGAUAUACAAGUCCAGACAUAGUUAUCUACAAAGAGGUCAUUGCAUAACAGUUGUUCAAAAACAUGAUUGACUGACAGAUUUGACAGAAAAAAACAUAGAAACAUGGAGCGCAUGGAUAGGAACAGGGUAAACUUACAAAGCUUUACACAAAAAAAAAUCACCACAAACUAGACCUAGAUGCUACAUGAAAAUACAUUAUACAUUUCCACUACGCUAGAGGCAAACUAGAAUCUCAUCUUCCACAACAUAUUACCUUGUCUGGAGAAGGUGGUGUCACCUUCACAGUUUCUGCCUCCUCCACCUUAAAAGGCUCCUCGACGUGCUUCGGAUCACUGGGCGUGGCACUGCUGAAGAAUACAUUGCCAGUUUUCAGCAAGACUGGCGAUGAGCUGUCAGAACCCCAACACACAGAGGGAAUUAGCAAUCUCACAGAAAAAAGCAAAUAGCAGCCCGACUGCCUAGAAGCAAGGUAUCAAUCAAGAAUACACCAGAAACAGGCCCGGCCCUGGGGCAGGGGAAACAAGUGAUCACCCAGGAUCCCCAUGGUCGGGGAGCAACACCAUCUUGCAAGCCUACAAAUGCAGCUAAAGUGCCCUUGCUACUCACAGUCAAGUAAUGAUAUGAAGCACUCACAGCUGGCAAUCUGUUCGUUCCCUGGGUGGUGAAGUGCCGACGUGCGGCCAUGACUUAUUAAGGAUCAACAUUCACACCUGUGUUUUCACUAAUCUCAUUUUUCUGCUUGUUCACUCUGCAACAAGCAUUUUGGUGGUUCUUGAGUUUUCUGGUUCACUAACUAGGUUCACUCUGCAAUAGGAAUUUUACUGGUCCUUGUACUAAAACGUCUUAAGACAGCAUAGGACAGAUAGAGGCCUACAGUAAAGCAAUCAAUUGCAAUUCUAUUAUUAAUAUAAAAAUAUUUACAUUCUUACUUCAAUGAUGAUCAGUAUGAGUAUCCAUAAGUAAACAUAUAUCAACCGCAAACGUCCUAAAAUCUUGACACUAGAGUAAUAAGCAAUAUGUAGCUGUACUUGGAAACAGAAUCCACACAGCACUUUUUGUAAUAAACGGAAAAUGCAUAUAUCUAAUAUAAUAAGGGCCUCUUCUUUCUAUUUUUCCCCAGGCCUACCAAAUGUCAGCAGGGGUCAGGACCGGCCCUGGCCAAUUAAAUCGCGGUUCGUCCUCCAAUCGAUUCGCCCCAAGUCCAAUGAAUCCCCUAGGCGCCACCAAAAUUGCCGCAUGACCCAAGGCAACCCAUCCACCGCAAUGCUAAAUAUCGCUUGCUCACACGCAUGACAUGGAGGGGCAGGGGAGGGGGGUCGCUCACCUGAGACGGGAGGUCGAGGCGGAGGCGGAGGAGGAGCGGAUCAAGCGGGCCACGGCCGACCUCAUCGCCGCCGCACCUGUACUCACGAUCUUGCUAAGAGCAACGUGGGGAAGGAAGGUGGGGAAUCGCGUGCAGGUGGCGCGAGGGGAGGGGAGGGGAGGGAGGGAUUCAAGCCUCCAGGAUCUGGUGGCGGCGUGGCGCUUUUGGUGGAAGCGGAAGCGAGCAAGUGCCGCAGCGAGGGGGCGCCACGUCCGGGGCUAGCGUGUGGUGCCAAGGCUGCCGAAUCUGCUAGAUAGCGCACAUGCGUUUGGAUUCAGCCAUUCAGGUGGGUGGCGGCUUCGUUAAAAAUUUAUUUCUUUGCUGAUAACAAUCCAACUAUUCUCAUAAUUCUUUCAAAAUGUUAUAUAGUACUCCGUAUUAGCUAUCUUUUGUUCCAUGUUGUAUUUCAAUUUAUUUUUUUGUGAAAAGUAUUAUUCUUGUGUAUAAAUAUUUGUUCAAGCUACAUAAACUUUUUUGUUCCAUGUGUAUAAGUAAUGUUCUAAUUAAUUUAGACUAAUAAUAAUAUUUCUCUACCACAUAACAAAGGCUGCAUAUCCACAAUAUUUUACUUCACAUGUAUAAUUUUUUGUUUCACCAGCAUGAAUUUAUUAGCCCUUUGUUUCUCUUAUACAAAGUUUUGCUCGAUUUCAACAAACUUCUAUUCCAUGGUUGUUUGACUUGAACAUUUUUUUGUUAACAUAAAUAACAUGCUAGGCAAAUGGGGAAGAAUUGGAGGAAGGAAUUAGAGGAGUGCUUUUUUUGUCUUCGGUGACCUCUGUGAUUAUAGGGACGGCUUGAGAGGUACACGAGAAGACGAUUUGGCGUGCGGUGGUGCAGCAAGACGUCAUAUAGUGGGGCACCAUCACUACAUAUGGUAGGCGGGUGUUUGUUGGGAUUGACAAUGGGGAAGUGAAAAAAAUGAAGAUAUUAGUGAAGGAGGUGCAACAAAAGCUGAUUCGGCGGCAUCCCAUCGCCGUGCAUCAGAGAUGGUUGGAGGAGAGUAGGACCAGGGCAAAACUAAAAUCCGUUGAGCGAAUGGAGGGGACGAGUGCUAAAUGAAUGGAAGAAGAAGGUAUGCGUAACCACUGUCACUUCACUAACAUUCUCGUAUUUAAAGGUUGAGGGUAAUCUCAACUUGCAUAUUACAUAGCAUCAAGCCAAGCACGUGAAAACGUUUACUUUGCCAUGAUAUUAUUAAAAGAUAAUUGACCUAGUUUAUAAGAAAAAUUAGGAGGAAAAAACUAUGCAACUAGAGGUAGAAUUCCUGUAUAACUUUGGUUAUUCGGACCAUCCCCGUAUGACUUCGGUACACCGACCGUACAACUAGGGAUGCCACAUAAAUACAUCCCCACGCAACUUCGGUUCAUAGACCAUAUAACAAACCAAACGACUUCCUCAGACCUUAGAACAUCUCCAACCCUUGACAUAUUAGUGGAAUCAAUAUUUUAAAUGAUGAACUAUGUAAAAACAUCUCACUAGCGCAUGGCGAAGAGCUAAGCUCGCAUAUCUCCCGAUACUCCCCCAUCUCACAGCACGAGCUCUAAGCUGUCAUGUUGUGGAUGCUCCCUCUUCUCCCUCUUUCAGCUUGAGCUAGCAGCUACCUUAUGCUGUUGGAGAUAUCAUUACAAGUUGCAACUCGCUGGGACAACAACUACUGCCUGAAAACACAUAUAGGAGGGCAACAAAGUAACAAACUCUGCCGGAACAACAACUUCUUCGGAUGCUCCGACGUAUAUUGCAAUAGUUAACUAUUAUUUCUGUAUGUUUUACAGUAAAUAUUGCAUGAAACAUAGUGUUCAUGUUGCGACAGGAAUUUUCUAUCCCAUAGUCUAACGAUAUAGUCAUUUUUACACAUUAUUUUCAUAUUGCGAACAGUGACCGCUAAUAAUGCAUUAGGUAAUUUUUAAUAUUUCGUCACGAUGAAAAAUUUUCCAUCGGACCUCCGGGCACUAGCAGCACCAAUUAUAUUUUGAUCCUGAAAUUGACAUGGAACAUCUUGUGCGAGGUUGUUCUGCAGCACAAUUACAAUUACUUCUGUGAAACAUGUAUGUUUGUGGCUUUAUCGAGUUGGGUCUGAUGUUUUCUUGUCUUCCUUUUUUUUUCUGUUGCAGGUAAUUGUAAUACAGAGGGUCUGGAGAACAGUGAAUUUCCGGAUGCUACGUUACCUCGAUACUUCAACAUAACCCCAUAUUACGUAUCCGAUAUUUCGAUACGUAUUUGUGCCUUUAACUUUUGCACCGCCUAUCCGUAUUGGUGCUGCAUAGUCCAGAUGAACUAUGAUGCUCGCAGGGUAAGAUCGUGUACCUGCUGAAGUGUUUUUUGGAUUGUUUUCCCACCUGUCGUUUGAUAACUGAAAGCCAUGACUUGAGCUUAAAAGACUGCUACUGGAUACAUGAAAUUGGUAGAUAUUAGGUUACUGCUGAAAAUUGUUUCUGCAGUCUGUUCAACUUAUUGCUCAUCCAUCCUUUAUUCUUUCAACCACUGAAUCUGGAAUCUGGUUAAGGACAGCCCAGUUCAUCCUAAAUUCAUUUAUUACCUCCCCAUAGCUACAUUCGGAUCUGUGCUAGUCCCAAGGCAAAAGUUUGAGGUAAUUCCCAAGAGCAAAUGAAAUAUCUGCAUGUACUUCAAUUGUCUCUGCUCAACAGCUAUACAGCCUAUACUCCCAGGAGUAUUUAACUAACAUGCUGUCUGAAACAGGGUUCUUCUUUUUUUGUGCAUUUCAGCCUUUUCAGUGACUAGUAGCUUCAAUUGCACUCGUAAUCCUAAAAUUUCCAUUAUCUGUAUCCAUUUUCUAUCUAUGAUAGAAAUCUGAAUAACAGAACCAAAUGUAGCAGCCUGGUUUGUAUCUGACAUGGAGUGCAUCUUUUUUCUUCAGUAAAUUUAGAUGUCUGGUUAAUGACAAGCUUUUACGCUCUUUGAUGUUGAUCAUGCAUGUGCUCUAGAAAAAAGUACGAAAACUUGUUAGAAAAAUGUAUGAAAAUUAUAAAAGUAUGUGUGUGUAAAUAGUGAGCAAAAGAAACAAAUUUAAAUCGUAACUCUCCUUUUUUAGAGCAAGCAUAUGAUCACCGACCAUUAGGCAAACAAAUCACCCAAAAGGCUGUAAAAAUAGUGGGUUCAACUUGAAGCCCCGUGCUUGGAUGUUUUAUUAAAAUAUGGUUAGAUUGAUGAGAUGGUUUUUGAAACCUUUUCUUUGGCACGACAAGACCAUUUUGUAUUUUUAAAAUCAACGACCAUUUUUUGUAAAAUUGACAAAUAGAAAAUAUAGAAAUUAAAAAAUCCCGCUGCUAUCCACUAUACCCAUGAGCCCAUUGGGCUUUUGAGUAGCAGAAAUGUACAAAGCUUUUGGGCCAACUACACAGUCAAGGCCCGAGGCGGCUGCAAGCCUGAAAAACCUAUCCAUCUUCCGGAAGGCAGGUAACCCUUUGAUCUUCUGGUGUUUGAGAUUCGUGUGACCAUUAUGGGCCGCACGAUCUCCUUCGUUCUCCCAUCUCUCUCAUCGCACGAGCGCCGCCGCUAGGGUCUGAGGUGGUUGGUGGGCGGGAGCGACCGCUGGUGAGGUUGCCGCCAACCGCCGGUGGUGGCCGAGGCCGGUGGGGGUGGGAGGGGUCGGCCGAAUGGAGGUUAAGGUUUCGGGUUUCUAGGAGGUGGGGUUCCAAUGGUCCCCGGAUGUAGAAGAAGAUCGGCGGCAGUGGCGAUUCGGCCGGCGGCAGUGGCGAGAUGGCGCUCCCUCGGGCAGGGUUGGACAUCCGGUGGCAGUGGCAGUAGCGGGGGGUGGCGAGGGGUGGAUUAGGAAGGGCUGGGUGGAGGGAGGCGUGGUGGUGGGUGGGCGGACGGUGCGGCAGCCGCCGGUCGGGGCGGUGGAGGAGGGGGCGGGGGUGGGGGUGGAGGGCGUCGGGAAGAAGAUGAGGUCGAGAUGGGCCUUGGUGGGCUGGAAGGUUCCAUCCCUGUAAUUUUUUUUAUUUUUAUAUAUUUUUUACGAUUUUGCAGAAAUAAAUAAUCGAAUAAAAAAUUUGCAAAAAUAGACCUAUGCCAUCGGACCAAACGGCGGUAGCAGCUUAUGUCUUACCGCCGGGUGAAACGGCGGUAAGGCUCUUACCGCCCCCCAUCCGGCGGGCCGCCCACGAGUUAGAAUGGCGCUAGUCUCGAGAAAGUUUCGCCGUUUCAUCUGACGAUAAGGAUGCCCCGCCAGUUCAAACGGCAGAAGCCAUCCCUUACUGCCGGAUGAGCCGGCGGGGCCUCCCAUUAUAUAUACAGCGCGCGGCUGCUCCCACCCACGUGCCAAAGCAAACAAAGCAAGCCAACCAGCAAGGGAGGGAGGGAGACCGAAGGUAGGGAGGGAGAGGAGAAGAAAGGAAGGGAGUGAGGGAGGAGGAGGAGGAGGAGGAGGAGGAGGGAGGGAGGGGAAGGAAGGAAGGGAGAGGGAGGAAGGGGAGAUUGAAGUUUUGGUCGUCGCUUCAUUUCAGGUACUUUUUUAAAUCUCGUAGUUUAGUUAAUGUACAUAGUUAGUAGUACAUAGAUCUAGUAGUUAGUUUAGUGGAUAUGAGACUUAAAAAAAUCUAGCGGAUUUUAGACAUAGGAAAAUGUAGCAUAGUCAGUAUAGUGGAUUUAGCUUAGGUAUUUAGUUCACAUUAAAUUUAGUUUGUUGAUUUAUGUAGAUUAAAUUUAGAUGAAUAUUAUUUGCAUUGCUAGGGUUAUAUUUUGUUUAGGUGUUGACAAUGUAGUUGUUAUAGGGGUAGUUGGAAUUAUUAGAUUUAGUGAGAACCUUUGUAUUUGUCGCGUAUAUUGUCCUGGGUAGAUGCCUAUGAUAAAUUUAGCUCGUAAGGUUGGUUUACUCUUAAAUAGUUGUUAGUGUGCCAUCGUUUAUUGAAAUGAAGGUGUCAUUCUAGUUAACUGAUUUAAGUUAUUGAGAGUAAUUUGGACUGCUCAUUUCAUAUAUGUUGGCAGACAUGUCGAUAGUUUAUAUUUUCAAGUGUUAUAUGGUCUGGAGGAGGUUAGAUAUGGUCCAGAAGGGGUACAUUUGAGUGGAUUUUCGUAUUUCUGCAAGUAUUUACCAGGAGCAAUAGAGAGGACUUGAGAGGCAUAUGCAGGUGGCUUUAUAAGGAUUUCGAUGUUGAUAGAGAUCUAGUAGAUGUGUCUGUGAGGUCUUUCAUGUGAACGAUUGUAUAGCGUACGAAGUGUGGUCAUAUGCAGUCUACUCAAAUUAUACAUAUUUUACUUUAAAAAUAUCAUUAAAAAAUUAAAGGAACAAUAUUUAAAACAGAGGUAUAGCCUCAAAUUACGAAGUUACGUAUUGCAAUGGAACUACAUAAUUUACUUUCAUAAAUGUCAUAAAAAAUAAAAGAAAAAUAAUUAAAAAAAGUUAUAGUCGACUAAAACGGUUAGGUACUCAUAGCCGUUUCAACUGGCUAUAGCAUCCUCAACCCGGCUGCAGGUCCUUACCGCCACUUGAAACGGCGGUAAGGCCCGUACCACUGUUUCAGCUGGCGAAACACGGCUGCACGUGCCAGCCGACACCCUUCCACUUUUUCAAACCGGCGAAAGGACCCUAUCACCGUUUGGUCCGACGGCGAAUGUUCAUUUUUGCAAAUUUUUAUUUGAAUAUUUGUUUAUGCAGAAUCGUAAAAAAAAUAAAAAAAAAUUCCAUCCCUGCUCUGUCUUCCGUAAGAUAGAGAGGAGGCCUGCAAGCCUCCGAUCCACCGCCGCCAGGCUUGCCAAGUUUGUUUACCCACCGCCCUGGCUCCUCUUCUCGAAGCCUCUGCGUGGGCACUGGGCGGCGAAUCGAAUGUCGGGUGAAGAUGAGCUCCUCGCCGGCGGGGGUGUGCCCAUCCGGCAGCCGCGGCUGGAAGACGCGGGCCUCGAGGACUGCGCGCUCCCGCCGGAGUCCAUCGCCGAGGCCUUCUCCCUCGCCGCCGCGGCCAUCUCCUCCCGCCUCGCUCGCUUCCCCCGCUUCCCCCUCUCCGACGACUCCGACGAGGAGGACGAGGAGGGCCGCGUCUCGGCACCACGUGGAGGCGGCUGCGUGGAUGAUGCCGGGCCCGCCCGCGGGGCCGUCCCCGACGCCGACGUCCUUGUUGCCAGCGGCGUCAUGGGCGACGGCGGCGGCGCCGAUGAGGUCGUGGUCGUUGGCGGAGGACGCGGAGGCGGAUGCGAGGACGCGGUGGUGGUCGGCGGGCGCGGGGAAGAGCAGGAUGGAGUCGUGGUGGUCGGGGAAGGGAGCGGGGAGAAGGAGCUGGGGAAGGAGGGUGGAUGCGUCGAGGAGGUCCGAGAAGGGGUCAGUGAACCGGGGCGCGCGCACGGCGACGGAAAGGACGACGAGGAAGUGGCGGAGAAGGCGAUCUUGGUGCCGGAUUUCGACUGAGCAGCUCGAUUGGUGACCGCUGGAUUCAAGCUUCUCGUCGUAGCUUGGGCCAAGGUGUGAAUUUCAUUUUAGUUUUGUUCUUGUUAGAGGCAGCUAAUAGUGUCAGAUCUUUUGCUACUUGUUGUUUGUUUGACUGUAUGACUGUAAUGUAAUGUAUGGUUUGUAGUCUCAGACGAUAUCUUCUCAAACGUUUAGCCUUAGUAGCAUCUGGCUUAAGAGUUAGCCUUACCAGUGAUUUUGGUUGUUGUUGUCCUGCUUGAGUUUUGCACACUCAUCUGGCAAGAGUAGUGAUUGAAAUAGAUUAUGAAGGAACCACCGAUCUAGCAGACUGGCAUCUGUGACAAAUUUGAAGAAUUAAAUUUAAAGAACUUUGUUGUGGACAUUGCCAAUAUUAAGAAGGGAUUAAAGUUAACCCUGUGCCAAAUAUCAAACUUUCUAUGUCUGUAGAAGAGGAAUUCCUACAAUUUACUAAAUAGCUGUGCCUCCUGAAACCAUUUGUCACAUUGCUUGUUAUAGAAGGGUAAAGUGCCCGAAGACUAUUUGCUAAUGAACUCAUGAAGAGGGGUGUUGCUUAUGAACUCAACAUAUACUGUUACACAAGAAGUUUAACUUGAUUCAAUUACUGAAAUGAUGCAUACUUACAGACAAGCAAACAUCUUUGCCAACUCCUUGCUAGAAGAAAUUGUAAUGUACGGGCACACGUACACGCGGCAUCGCAGGGCACGCGAUGUGCGCCGCGCUGCUGAUCGAGCAGCACGCCUGAGUCAGCCGGUGAUCACAUCAAGUGGCUAAGAUUAGAAGGAAGAGAGUAAUUGGUUGUUUCCCUUUUUUGUUACUUUCCUUUGGCAGUCCUUAAGUUUAGGAAGAGUGGUUGGGCCGGAGGCCAUAUAUUCCUGAAACCGCACAUUGAGAGAUUAAGCAAGAAUCAUUCAGUCUAAUCUCCUGCCUCUUCUCUAAGCCACGAGCCUGGGGGCAAAACCCGGCGAGUGUUGAGCGACGUGGGGGCAUAACCCCGUCGUGUUUACCACGGAGCGCGGGUACGAGCUCCGUAGUCGAGGCCCGGCGUCCCUGCCGCAUACCGCCCUUGACAGAAAUGCAUCUAAGCUUUUUCGUCGAAGUUGUACAAUUUUGUAAGCUUGAUAGCCUUGCUGAGAUCAAGUGAAAUUUGAACUGGAUGAGGGAAGUGAGGAGCUUAUCCAUAACUCCAGAGUAACUGGUAGAACAGCUUCAAAGGUGUGACAUCAAUCAGUUAUUGCUUCCGAUGGCUCUUGUGACUGAUGAAUGUAUCAGGCCACCAUUGCGCAUCUAAUGAUCUAAACAUGGAGUAAUAUUGAAACUCAGUGUCCCUAUGUUCUAAGAUAAUGAUGGUAACCGAUUAGUUUAGCCUAUGAUUGACUAUUGAUGAUAACAAGUCUCAUUCAGCAUGGUGAUCUAUGUUCACUACUGAUAUAUGUGCUGCAGUAGAUCUGUAUAACCAUGCUUUCUGGGCUUCUGGCAGAACUAGUGCAAAAGAGGCCAUCACAGUAGUAUAAUUAGUCAAGCUUUUUCUUAGAGCACGCAGGAAGGUCUUUCUAUUAUUAAGGGUGUGUUUGGUUGGGCUGUGGCUUUUGGAAAAGCUACUGUGAGCUGUGGGCUGUGGAAAAGCAGCUAUGAGAAAGCAGCUAACCCUUUGGUGGUUAGAUUAGCUGUGAAACUGUAAGCUGUGUAAGAAAUACUUGUAAUACCUUUAAAGGUUUGUGGGUGUGUUUAUAUGCAAACUGCUCGUAAUAAAGAAAUGUGUUCACUAAUUCGCAUGUAAAUGACUGUUGUACAAAGAAAAAAAAUAAUUUGUAAUAAUUUGUAUCACCGGAAGUUCAAGAUUUAUAACUUGGUCUAUAUUUGUAGCUAAAUAUGUUGCAAUUUUCUUCUUUAUUUUCUUAUGGCAAAUAUCAUCAUGCAAUUAUCAGAGUUAUAGAAUGGAUUGGUGUGGUUAUAAAUCGGGUUAUAGCCCAAUUAUCAGGGUUACUAUGAUCCUAUCAGGCUAUCAGCUAUCAGUCCAAUUACUAUGCAUCACUGUACAACUCCUCCGUUGCAAAUGCUGAAGCUUACAGCUAUUCAGGCAACACUGCUAGAUCAAUAGUACAAGUAUUUUAACGUAUCAUCUCAUAGUAUGAUCUCUCCACCGAUCCACAUGACAUGAGAACAACACUGCAACGACCAGAACAGCUUCAGAAGAUUGGACGCUCCUUCCCACCAAGAUGUCUCACAAUAUAUUCUAAGAUUCACUGAAUUAUAAGUAUUAAUAUCAUAGGAAUGCAAAUUUACACAAUUCCAAAUUGUGAGUUCAUCGAAGAAAAACAAUUAAACAGAACACGCUUUCAGGAAAGAAAGCUUCCAUGAAUGUUGGACUUGCAUAUCACAGUCGCCAAGAUGGGCGUGACAUAAGGAUGCUGAUCACGUAACUGAGACCAUUAUUGUCUGAUAGCAAAUGAUUCCCUGUGCAAAGAAAGAAAACAGUACCAGAAAUUUACUGUGCAAAGAAAGAAAACAGUAUCAGGUGUGAUGAGAAAUUAUCUAUCUUGAAUCAAGAUUUACAACCUGAUUAGUUCGGAUAAGUGGCUGGAACAAUCGGAUUGGUCUUGUUUCCUGAACUGUGCGCAGUCAGCUAAUUCACCAGAAGCUAAUUCGGGAAAAACAGAGCAAGUUCAUCUCGACGGAAUCUGGACUGUACGUGGUGACUUGACGCGAGAAUGGCGGCGGCCGGCGACGGCAGGCGCGGCGGACGCUGGCUGGAGGCGGACGGCGGGGUGCGGCGGCCGGUGACGGGUGGGUGCGGCGGACGCUGGCUGGAGGCGGACGGCGGGGUGCGGCGGCCAGGGGCAGGGUGUGCGAGGCACCGGGGGCGCAGAGCGGAUUCAGCAGAAGCUGGACCGGCGAAGGGGGUGGCGGGCCGGCAACCGGCGUGGGCGAGAGGAGGACCGGCGACCGGGAGCGGAGAUGGUCCGCCGGGCGGCGCUAGACUGCGGGAGGCGACGGGUUGUGACGGACGGGAGAAAUAGAUCGAUAAAAAACGAAUCGUUACUUUCAUUAAGAGGCAGGUACCUACACCAAAAGCACUUGAAAGCAGGGGAGAUGGUGCUUUUACAUUUGUACUAGACUAAAAGUAGCUUUUGGGCAAAAGCACAUAGAACUUUUUAGCCCUUUGGUUGGCUUUUGGCUUUUGCAAAAGCAAAAGCAGGUUCAAAAGCCCAACCAAACGCACCCUAAUUAACUCAAACUUUUAGAUAAUAUAAACAAGUUUGGAUGAGAAAUACAAAAUUAUCAAUUUUAUAAUUUGAAAAUUGUCACCACUCAUCUGCUUCAUCUCCUAUUUCCAUAUUAGUAAAUAAAUACUAAUAUGGUCAGCUUACUAUGGUCAGAUCUUUUGCCGCUGCUUGUUUGUUUGGCUGUGAUGUAAUGUAUGGUUUUUAGGCUCAGCGAUAGGUUCUCAAAUGUUUAGCAUAGUGCAUCUGGCCUACGAGUUGCUAGUAGUUUGUGCCUUACUGGUGAUUCUUGGUUGUUAUGUUCCUACUCUAUUUUGGCAUGCUAAUGUGGUAACAGUAGGUUAUUGAAAUGGACUAAUGAAGAAAAUCACUGAUCCAGAACCUGUGACAGAUCUAAAGAACUAAACUAAAAGAACUCUGUUUUGCUAUGUGGCAAUGUAUUAUGUAUGUACUGCUUUGUUUCUAGUCAAAUAAACUAAGUUAUAUCUGUGAGCAAAAAGAGACUAACUGGACUAAUAUUAAGUAGAGGAAUUCCUGCAAUUUACUAAAUUACUCUACCUCCUUAAGCCAUUGUCCCAUUGUUUGUUAUAGAAGGGCAAAAUAUCCGAAAACUAUUUGCCGGUGAAUGUCGCUUAUGAACUCAAAUAUACUGUUCCAAGAAAAAAAGUGAACUUGAUUCAUUGAUUGAAAUGACGCAAACUUCCACACAAGCAAACAUAUUUGCUAACUUCUUGUGUAUUCUAGAAGAAAUGCCAGUGGAUCUUGUGUACGGUUUUUUUUGUCAAAGUCAAACAAAUUUGUAAGCUUGAUAGCCUUGCUGAAAUCCAGUGAAAUUUGUGGAACUGGAUAAAGAAAAGGUAGCUUUCGUAUGAAAUAGAAGAUCAUCCAAAAUUCCAGAGUAACUGGUAAAAAGGUUUUGCAUUUCUAGCAACUUGAAUCUAAUUUAGUUCUCGUGGUGUGACAUCAAUCAAUUACUGAUUCCGAUGGCUCUUGUGGCUGAUGAAUGUGUCAGAUCACUGCCGUAUCCAAACAUGGAGCAAUACUGAAACUUGGCGUUCCUUUGUUCCAAGUCUAAGAUACUGAUGGUAAACAAUUUAUGAGGACCUUGGAUCUUAUAUGCAAGUGUCCCGAAUUUGAUCAAAUGCCAAUAAUGCAUAUUUGGAUGAUGUUCCUGCCAUGCAUGUCGCCGACAUGUCUCAGGCUCUCAGCAGUGCGUUUGCUUCACCUGGUUGCCCUGUAGGUCGCUUGCCACGGGCGAUGCUAGGGAUCAUGAUGCAGAAGUUGUAGACGUCUAAUGUACUGAGAAUGCAUGUGCUGAAGUUCUAAUAAGAUAAGCAGCCCGUUCGGCUGGGCUGAAGGCUUUUCAGCCCAGCCGUUUGGCUGCUCCAGUGAAGCCGUUCGUUCGGCUGCCCACCGACGCGAGAUGCGUCAUUUCCUCUCCCUCUCGCCUCACGUCCUUAUCCAGUUCGUAGACGCUCUCGCCCGGUCGCUCGCUCUCGGCCGCUCUCCGCCGCCAUCGCUCCCUCCGCUCGCCCGCUCCCUCGCUCUCGCCCGCUCUUCGCCGCCGUCGGUCCGUCGUCUCGCCCGCUCCCUCACGCUCGCUCGCUCUCCGCCGCCGUCGGUCCCUCCUCUCGCAUGCUCCCUCGCUCUCGCCCGCUCUCUGCCGCCAUAGCUCCCUCGUCUCGCCUGCUCCCUCGCGCCCGCCUGCUCUCCGCCGCCGUCGGUCCCUCCUGCUCCGUCCCCGGCGGCCGCCUCCCUCCUUCGGUCAAGCGGCACAAAUUGGGUAGAUCCACCACGGGUGGCCUCUUCCUCGCCGGCAGCAGACCAUUCGGCCCCACUGCAGCGCCGCGACAUCGGGGGUGAACGCUGCCGUCAGGGAUCCAGGUCGCCGCCCAGCACGGCAGCCGGGAUCCGGGCUCUCCACCGCCGCGGCCUUCACCGUGCCCCCCCCCCCCCCGGCCUGCCAACUCGAGCAGGAGGAGGUCACCCAGAUCCACCACCCGCCACAUCCAAGCUGUGCCGCCGCCGUCCCCUGACGAAGCGCACCAUCUACAUCAAGGUACUCCGGAGUUUAACCGCCUUAGGUUUGUUGGUCAAGCACAAUUUUUGGUAGCCAUAGAGGUGCUUCUGGUGAACCUGAGUUUAUUUUCCCUUGUUUUUGCAGGUUCAUGGUUCACAUUUCAGUUGGGUGGGACAACAAAUUCUUGAUUUCAUUCUGGUAACUCCUGUCUUCCUUGUUCAACAGCACCUACACUUGUACUGCUUCCUGAAGAUGGUUUACUGCCGGUUUGCCUGUGCUUAUGAACCGUGAUGGCUGCUUUCAACAAAAGCCACAUGCCUGUGAAGCUGCUGGUACUUUGCUAUUCUGUGCAUUUGCAUUGUAAAUGUUAGCUUUCUAUUGCUACUCGGGUACACAUGCUCCAUUUUUGUACUUUGAUGUAGAUGUAUGAAAAUUAGCCAUGUGUAGAUGUAUGAGUUCAUAACUGGUAAUGUUACCUACAGAACGCUUGUGACAUCCAUGACAUGUUUGCUUAUACUACAAACCCCUGAGCAUUUAAUCUUUGUUUACUGAUCUCUUCUUUUGUUGAGUUAGUGGUUUCAUUAGGAUAUCUUAUUUCUUUUGUUGUCCUGUGGUUCAUUCAAACUGCUGUUAUAAUUCGAGUUGUUUGAUGCUUAGCACUUGUGUGCAUUAUGCUUGCAGCAUGUUCUUCCUCUAAACUGUGCAAACCUUUAUACAACAAACUAAGCAUCAGUAAUGUGUCUGUUUUUUUAUCACCUAUCCAGGCAUCUACUACAAGCCUAGUAGUAGCCCACCCGUGAUGAACUACCAACAGUGCUCACACUAGCAUCGUCAUCUAGUUCUUCGUGCUCUCCCCCACCGGUCUGUCCGUACAAUUUCCGUCACAAACGUGCCAAGACAGCUGCUAAGGCAAGUGACAUAUCCAUUACUGUUGAAUUUGUGUACUUGUAUGCCUCAUGCUGUUGCUUCCUUUGUUGCAAUAUAGUUGCAGCUACUGUCUACUGAGAAUAUGCAUUGUACACCUGGGCUCAGAUGGCUUGCAGCCGUGCCAACUGGGACAAGGCCACAACGAAAACAUUGCUGGACCUGUGCAUAGCUGAGAAGAACCAAUUCAAUUAGAGCAACAGGUGACUAGCUAAGUUGGUAGUUAGGGAUAGCAACACGUGUAACGCAACUUCAAACAAUAGUCUGGUCUUAAUUUGGGCAGCAAGCAGCUGCAGAACAAGCUGCACACCAUGCAGAGAGCAUUCUUGAGCUGGAAGGACUUGCAAGUCCAAUCUGGUUUAGGCUGUGACAAAGAAACUGGUGGUGUUGCUGCUGAUUCCACCUUUUGGGAUGACGAUGAAGGGGUACGUCCUUUUACAGCAACAUAACUUAUUGCUCAUGUUAUGUAUACCAACAUAUUUUUGUUACUAACAUGUACCGUUCCUCAUUGCAGGAAACCAGUGCUGGUGCUGCCCAGACUAGUUCUGCUAAACCACCCCUGUUCCUCGACGAAUUGUACACGUUGUUCGGCCACAUCACCCAAGACAGGGGCACCUUGCUGACGGCAGGAGGUAUUCGUGAGGCGACACCUAGCAUGGGGAUUGAGGACAAUGCACAUGACUUUUACCUGGACCCAUGGCUGCUAGUAGUGCUCGUAACUUGUCUAAAAGGACAACCCGGAAAAUCUCUGUUGACAAUCCUUCGAAAAAGAAAAGUGGCAGCUUGGAGGACUAUGUCAGGGAACUUUCCAAAAUUGUGGUAACGAGGAGCCAGAAACUUGGCGACCGUGAGCAGGAGGAACUGGAUCGUGCAAUGCAGCUUAUAGAAGAAGAUGGUAUCGAGGAGGGGUCUGAGCUGUACUGUCAUGCACUUUAUUUAUGUAAGAAUGCAGUGUAUCGGAGGGCCUUCAUGAAGAUGAAAAUGAAAGAGGGCCGACUGAAUUGGAUCCAAUUCAACUGGGACAGGGAGAACAAGUAGUCCAUUGUGGCAUAAGUUUGUUUUAUUCUAGUGAUGUGUACUGAUGGGUUGAAACAAUAAUGUCUGAUGUACUGCAUGUUAAAUUUUUUUCAAGUUCAAUGUCGCCCAUGAUCUGUACUACAUGACCAUCUAUUUUUUACUUGUGUCACAACGCUUGUAAUUUCCAUAGUAUGUCUUAGUAGUGACGAGGAAUUUUAAUAUGUGUUGUCAUUGUGCCGUGAACAGAAAGGUGGGGAGGCCAUUUGAGGCCCUCAGCAGGUGUCCAGGAAGGAGGAUUGGUUAGUUGUCCGGGCUUCCAUGGAGGAAAGGGAGGACGAUUGACAGGUUUGAAACAAAUUCAUCUGUCAAUUGUGGUGCAACUUUUACUAUAUAGGCUUUGAUGACUGAUCCCCCUCCGUUUGUUAUUGUGCACAGGCUCAUUCAAGUAUGAGUAGUGCUGAGGAAUCAAACAGCGACAUCGGCAGUGAUUCUAGCUCCAUCGUGUACCAGCUGGCGAGUGUAGCAGCAGCUGUAGCAGCAUAUGUCGCCGUGAAUAGAAGCCCACCUCCUGUGGUGAACCCGCCAGUGGAGUUGCCACGCAUGACCGGACGGCAAUGGGUUGAGCUCAAUAUGCGGGAAAGCUGGAGGUGCUACGAUAAUUUUCGUAUAUAUCCCGACGUGUUCCUUCAGUUGCAUGACAUCUUGGUUAACAAUCAUGGGUUGCAAUCGUCACAAGGGGUAGAAUCUAUUGAGGCUUUAGGUAUGUUCGUCUGGGCUUGUGUGACACAACAGGCUUCCUGUCAAAUUAGAGAUAGAUUUGAGCGGAGUUUGGACACAGUUAGUAGGAAGAUGGUGCAUGUGGCAGAUGUAAUGUUCUCAUUUGCCCAGACGGUAAUCGCUCCAAAGGAUCCUGCGUACUCCAAGGUUAAUCAUAGGCUGAACCAGUAUGCACCGUUCUUUGAUGGGUGUAUAGGUGCUCUAGAUGGAACCCACGUUCCCGUACAGGUCGGGCGUGAGUCCCAUUUGGACUUCAUUAAUAGAAAAUGGUGGACAAGCUUUAAUGUGUUAGUGAUAGUGGAUAUGGACAUGCGGUUCACCUAUGUAGGAGCGGGGAGGGCAGGGUCCAGUCAUGAUAUGUCGGUGUUGUGGGAGUGUAUGGAGACACCAAACUACCCGCAUCCACCUCCAGGUAUGGUACUUGCCUAAUUACGAACAUGACGCAACAAUUGUAAACGUGGUGCACUAAUGGUGAAUAUGUUUGAUGUGCUGUAGGAAGGUAUUAUUUGGUGAACUCGGGUUACGCAGUUCGUGAAGGCUAUCUGGGGCCCUAUUGAAGUACCAGGUACCAUUUGGAGGAAUUCAGCAGAAGAGCGGCUGAAAGUUUGGAGGAGAAAUUCAACUUCCACUAUUCGAGUCUUCGCAAUGUUGUCGAACGAGCUUUUGGCGUGCUCAAAUCCAGGUGGCAUAUUUUGCAGCAAGUACCAUUCUAUGAUCGAGAGAGGCAAACGAAGAUCGUUAUUGCUUGCUUUGCACUCCACAAUUAUUUGCUGGACCGUGCCGAUGCAAGUACUGUAGAUUCGAACAUGGCGUGAACUCCGGAUUACGGGGUGUCCGCAUGGGUCGCAGCAAAUGCUACUCCUGAUAUGGCUAGUGUACGAGAUUGGAUCGCGGCAGGAAUCUCAUUGAUGUAGAUGUAUGCGUAUGUGUGUAUGUUUGUGUUAUAUGUUGUAUGUAAGCAAUUGAUGUGCAACAUGUUAUUCUAGUGUGUGGCUUAUUUUGUAUGUCAGUAGCAUCGCGGUAGUGGGUUAAGUUUGCGUCAAAAAAUUAAAUUUUUUUGCUCCUUUCACGAUCACAAAUUUGAAUUUGAAAUGUAGCAGCAGUAGCAAAAACAGCCGAAGAAGCCUAGUAGCAGCAAGCAGCGGUGCCCAGCUGCUUCUACCAGCGGUUGCAGCUGCAGCCAGCAGCGCAGCCAGGCAGCUGGCCGCCGAACGGGCUGAAGGUGCAUGGACUGAAGUUGUAAUGUUUCGGAAAGAAAAACAUUCGUCACCAAGAGCAGACCACCUUAAGCACUGUGUUGAAGGUCCAACCGAGCUGUGUGUGUGUCUGCCUGAAGAAAGCCUGUGUAAUAUACCUUUUGGUGGCAGUGAGAAGUGAACUAUGAUGAGCUUUUUCUCAGCACAGCCGAAUAUGCUGGAGCAAUAUAUCAAAGAGCAUAAAAGCUUUCAUUUACCGGUCCUCUAAGGGUGUGUUUGGAUACAAGGUGUUAAACUUUAACAGUGUCACAUCAAAUAUUCGGAUGCUAAUUAGGAGAACUAAAUAUGAGCUAAUUAUAAAACUAAUUGCAGAACCCUGUGCUAAUUCGCGAGAUGAAUCUAUUAAGCCUAAUUAAUCCAUCAUUAGUAAAUGGUUACUGUAGCACCACAUUAUCAAAUCAUGGACUAAUUAGGCUUAAUAGAUUCGUUUCGCGAAUUACACUCCAUCUGUGCAAUUAGUUUUGUAAUUAGCCUAUGUUUAAUACUCCUAAUUAGCAUUCAAACAUCCGAUGUGACGGGUGUUAAACUUUAACACUAUUGCCCGUGGUCUGACACUUCCGAGUCCGACUCCAUGUUGCUCCGCUCCGCGUCAGCCUUCAACUUCCGCUAGGUUCAUUUCCUACCGCCUCCCUCGUCACCGCCUCUGCGGCGAAUCCGACUCGAGGUCGCCGAUUCACUGCUGGCCCGCCGUUAUAAAUCCCAGCGCCCAUCGCUUCCUCGUCCAUCACAGCGAUCGCUUCCCAUCACCGCCCUGGCGCCCUGCGUUGUUCUCCCGUCCCUUCCAUCGUCUCCCACCAGCGCGAGUCCCACGGCGAUGGUCUGCUCGAUCGCCCCCGCCGCGCCUCACCAGAUGUUCCACCGGGCCGGUGCCGCUCCGCACCAGAUGAUGACGGCGGCGGCGCCCGCGCCAGAGGAGAUGCGUCUCUCGGACUUCGACUGGAUCGGCGACCUCGGCGCCGGCGGCUUCGCCAGGGUCAGCAAGGCUCGCCACCGCCGCACCGGCGCGGUGUUCGCGCUCAAGAUGUCGUACGACCCGGACCCCGACGUCGAGGAGGAGGCCGAGGUGCUCCGCCGCGCCGCCGGGUCGCCGCACGUCGUCGACUGCCACGCCCUGCUCCGCGGUCCCGCCGGCGAGCCCGCCUGCCUGCUUGAGUUCAUGGACGCCGGCUCCCUCUCCCGCGUCCUGCGCCGGCGCCGAGGGAAGGGAGGAUUCCCCGAGCCGGCGCUCGCCGAGGCGGCCGCGCACUGCGUCGUGGGGCUCGCCCAGCUCCACUCCCGCGGCGUCGCGCACCUGGACGUCAAGCCGGACAACCUCCUCGCAAACUCCCGGGGCGAGAUCAAGAUCGGCGACUUCAACACUUCCAAGAUCCUCUACGGCCGCGCCGGCGAGCACCUCCAGGUCCCCCUCACCGCCGGCACCCGCUGCUACUUCAGCCCCGAGAGGUUCGCGCCCAUAGCCCGCGCCGGGCCGCAGGGCGCCAUGGCCGCCGACGUCUGGGGCCUCGGCGUCACCGUCCUGGAGCUGUUCCUGGGCCGGUUCGCCGUCGUGCCGGAUGUGAAGAAGGCGUCUGCGGCGGAGCUGGAGCUGGCCAUCUGCCACGGGGAGCCUCUGCGCGUGCCGGAAGAAGCAGAGGCGUCGGCGGAGUUGCGCAGGUUCGUGGCCGCGUGCCUGCAGAGGGAGCCGACGCGGCGCGCCACGGUGCCGCAGCUGCUCGGGCACCCGUUCCUCACUGGCCGCGACGUCGAGGCGUCAAGGCGCGCGCUGCGGGACCUUAUCGUCGAGACCCUCUAGUUACAGGAGCUGGAGGAUGAUCUGUGUAAUAGGAUUACUGAGAUUAACUCUUUGUUGUUAUUUCAUUGAUGAUUGAUUGUAGUUUGAAUUCAGUUAACUGUGUUAUUCUUCCAAUCGGAUGGGAAAUUUUGUUAGCAACAAAAUUGGUUUUUUUUCUGUAACAAACAAUCAUGAUUUUUCACUUAACUGGAUGAGAAUUUUAACAUGUAAUGCAUGAUAGCCUCCGAGAAUUCUACAUUUCUACCUGUGGUUGAACUGCUUGACUGUAGCAUCAACUCAAUCAAAAAAGUUUAUAACAAAAUAAUCACAAGACGCAUUGCAACGUACUACUCUGUGCGUAGACAGCUCGAUCGAAUCCUCCUGUGUAUGAUACGCAGUUGCAUCGGACGAACGCGUUUAGCCGAACGACGAUAGAGCUUGGUGAGGCCAGGCAGCCAUGGCUUCAGCGAUGGAGGGUCGCGGUGCGCGCACCAAAGUCCAGUUUCGAGCACGCGCUCCAUCUGCUGCAUGUCGAACUCGCCGUUGACUCUGCGCUCGGCCGGCGCGUGGUGACGAACUCCAGGUCAAUGUACCCUACCGUCCCGGGCUGCCGGCGACGAUCCCAAAUCCAGCGCGAUCAUGUACGUUUCGUGACAACGAUCUGUCAAUUCCUUUUCACACUCCUUCGCAAAUUGUCGAACAACAAAAUUUUCAAGAGGAAAUAAUGGUUCACUACUACACUUGGUACCAAAGCCCCGUGACUCAUCGUGCCUAUAUACUUUAACUUAGUAUUUCUAUAUCAACAAUGAUAUAGAUUUAGAAUCAUAUAUUAGUUUAAUUUUGAGCAUUUUUGUAUAAUGCACAUGAAGAUAAUUAGAUCAAGAUUUAGGUGUUUAGUUUCGACAUACGUGGGUAACUUAGAUACAAAUUUAGAAUGACAUUUUAAGUUAUGCUUUUAUAAUCAUAUUCAUGAGUAAAUUGGAUGAAGGUUAUGGGGUUACUUUAUAUUAUUUUUUUUAUAAUGACAGAGCUCGGUAAUUUAUAUAUAGAUUUAGGGUUUAUUUUAGAAUAUUCUCAUAGGGAUAGUGGUGGGUAGUUUUUUUAUUUAAAAAAACAUAAUGGACCAAUGACUAUGAUUAUUAGAGUUUAUAGGAUUGAUGUUUGAUAUUUUUGAUUUUUGUGAGAAUUUCAAGGAUUUGUCUUUUUUUUUCUAGCGUGUCUCGUGAGAACUAAUGCGAAGUCUCCAAUGGAAAAAAUGAGGCUAUUGCUACAAAACUAUUAUCUUGAGAUACUUCUCAUUUGUUAAAUAUUUAAAAAUAAUACUUAUAUAGAUAUAUAUAUACUUAUUAUCUUCAUCCGAUUGUGAUAGAUUUAGUUAGUAAUACUAUAAUAUUUUCAUCCACAUAUAUAACCUUUAACUUUUCAUUUUGCAUUGUAGAUAUGCACUUGGAUUUGUUUGAUGUAAUUUUAACAUAGAAAUUUAUAUUCCUAUCACUUCCAAUAUAUCUUUAUAAAUGGUGACACACACAUCAUGUCUAUAUACCUUAAUUAUUAUAUCAGAUACCAAUAGUGUAAGAAAUACAUGAUUUAGAAUCAUACAUUUUUGCAUAUUUUUAAUUAAGGUGAUUUGGGUUCAAAUGUAGGGUUAGCUGAUGUUAUUUUUAAUAAUAGCAUAUGUGAGUAGUAUAGAUGCAAAUCUAAGAGUUACUUGAAGUUAUUUUUAAGUAUAAGUGGUGGGCAAUUUAGUUGCAAAUCUAGGGGUUAUUUUAAAUAUUAUCUAUAAUAGCCUGAGUGGGUAAUUUCGACGAAGAUUAGGGGGUUACCUUAGUUUAUUUUAUAUAAUGACAGAGGUGGGUAUUUUAAAUAUAGAUUUAGAAGUUAUUUCAAGUUAUUUUUAUAAUGGCAUAGGUGGGUAAUUUUUUAGAAAAUAUAAUUAGCUAUGAUAAUUUGAGUCUAUCCAAGAUAUUUUGCUAUUUUUUUUAGAAUUUCUAGUAUCUCAGGAUGCUGCUCCGGCUUCAAAAGGAGUUUCUCCGUAAAAAACAUCAUCAUUACGCGACGAUGUGGCAGGGCGGCGUCACACGGUCGCUAACCUCGAGGAAGCCCCUGAUUCAUGUAGGGCAAGGCUGACGCAAGGGUGCGAGGAUUAGGGAAUCCAGAGCAGUAAACUGUAGCAAGAGGGUGACGACCAGGCCAACGCAUUCACACGUAAAGCGGUAGGAUGGAUUGCCGGUCAACCCUUCCCACGACUGUGGGCCUCGCCGGUCCAUACUUGUAUCGCACAAGGAGACUCAACAACAAUAACUCACCAUAUGCACGUAUGCAAGACGUAGGAUGUUACUAAAAACUCUCGUGUGUUGAGUCUACACUUCUUAUAGCAUUUUUCGAUCUCACGCACGUACUAACCCCAGGCCAAAUCUUCAAAACGGGAUCCCACCGGAUGCUCGCUCUCGGUGCUUGAUGUAACACUCUAAUUUUCAAAUUAAAUUUUGUAAGAAUUCAAAAUUCUGAUAGAAACAUACUAGCUGCAGUUAGAAAUCCAGUAGGAGUCAUUGGCAGGAGUAGAAAAUAUUUUACAAAUGAAAUUGUUAAGCAAACUUAGGUUAUAAUCUUUCUUGAUGCAUUCAAGCCGUUGCAUUGUGUUCUUUGUAUGGAAAAUGAAUUUGGAAAAAAACCAUUUGCAAAGUUUCGAGUAAGUUCGUCUAUGCAUAAUUAGUUUCGGAUUAAGGUUUAAUCUCUGGAUGUAUUAAUCUAUACUAUAAAGAUCCAAAACUUUUGAAAACAUUUUUCACCUAACAAAAAACCUCCUACCCCUCACAUUGGUCCCACUUGCCAGGCUUCAGAAAGAGUGGAGGGAGAGCAUACCCAGAAAAAUCGAUAGUCAGUCUAUCUGUAUAUAUGUAUGUAUGUGUGUGUAUAUACACACACAUAAGGAUUCAAAACUUUUGAAAACACUUUUCAGCCAACUAGUAGAAAAAUAACCUUCCAUCCCCAAUAAAAAUCUCGGUUGUUCUUGAUCUGGGAUAAAAGAGGCUUUAGUCUCGGGUCUAAAUUUUGUAGUCCGUGGAGACACCUUUAGUCCCGGUGGUAACACCAACCGGAACUAACAGUUGGUACUACGAACCGGGACUAAAUGGUCCCCCAUAAGUUGCUACAAAAGGAUUGCAUCCCCUACUCAAUCAGAUGUGUUGUGUAGGUGAGAAGGUAGGAAAGCUACACGUGAGGCUUGAGGAUGUGGGUUCGAAUCCCAUGCACCGCACACAUGCAUAUUUUGCGUGAAAAAUCACGUGACUUGUGACCUGUGACGUGCGCGUGUGAGGAGCCUCGCGGGAAUUUAGAAUAUUUUUUUAGCGCAAAACCUUUUAGUCCCGGUUAGAUACUAAAGAUUUUUUUUAGAUUAAGGAAAUUAUCCAGUCUUGAACAUUCACAAGUGAAUGUCUACGACCACAAAGAAACAAAUCCGACCACCUAGUCCGAAGGUACAUGAUUACUUAGACUUCAUGCCUCAAUACGAGGAUCAAAGAAAAAUAAGAAAGCAAGCCACUAAGAAAGAAAGUUAAAAAGACUAAGCUUCAAACUUCUUCUAUGCUCUUACUUCCACCUAAUAAUGGACCUUGUGCAACGACUAAUCCCUCCCAUCUGUCAUUUUCUUAGAAACCCUAGAAGUUAGGAUGAUCUUGCUCGACGGCCAACUAUUUCCUGUUGUUUUCUUGUCACGUAGAAACUGUACUUAGUCAAUUUCUACCGUGCACACUAGCAGUACACUGAAACCGCCAUCC
This 50241-nucleotide long non-coding RNA is filed under the name Setaria viridis. RNAcentral describes it as "long non-coding RNA (SVIR_LNC002048)". The record is from RNAcentral. Lineage: Eukaryota; Viridiplantae; Streptophyta; Magnoliopsida; Poales; Poaceae.